CGAGGUGGUUGGGAGGAAUACUUGCCAUUAGUGGAGUUUGCCUACAAUAAUAGCUAUCAGUCUAGCAUUCAGAUGCCACUUUACGAGGCUCUGUAUGAUCGUAAGUGUCGCACUCCCUUGUGUUGGACUGAGUUGGGUGAACGACGUGUUCUGGGUACUGAGUUGGUUUCUGAGACUGAGCAUAAGGUCAGAUUGAUUUGAGAUCGACUGAAAAUGGUAUCGGAUAGACAAAAGUCUUUUACGAACUUAAAGCAACGCAAUAUCGAGUAUUCUAUGGGACACUUCGUGUUUCUUAAGGUCUCGCCAUGAAAGAAGGUACUGAGAUUUGGUCGUAAAAGCAAGUUGAGCCCUAGGUUCAUUGGACCCUAUCACAUACUGAAAUGUGUGGGACUAAUUGCCUUCCAGUUAGAGCUACCUCCAGAGUUGGAUCAGAUUCAUGAUGUGUGUACAGGCCAAUUUUGGACCCAAUACAACAAAAUAUUAACCCAACCUCAACCCAUUUACAUCAGACCCAAUAACCCCCCAAACCUUAACCCAAAUCAAACCCAUUCCCAAUACAUUACCCAAAUCAUUAAGCCCAUUAUCCAAACCCUACCCAAUCAGCUACCCGGAGCCCAAUGUUACCCACAAGCCCGUUUGCAAUAUUCAUCCCCAACCCACCUAAACCCAAAUCUACCUAUAACCUAAACACUCAACUCCAAGCCCAGAAGCCCAAUUUUAGACAUUAGGGUUUCAGUUUCUGAAACCCUAAACCUGCCUAGCGCCGCAACCACCCCCACCAACCCUCUGACGACCCCAUGCCCUCUAACGUUGCCUCAACAACCGCUCCACCAUCCUCCAUAUUGCACCAUCCCCUGCAUGCAUUAAAAGAGAAUAGACAGCAAGUAAGAAGAGAGCAGUAUAUAAUCAAAACAUACAAUGUAAAAAGGGGGUUCCUUUUUUCGUCAGUUUUGAAAACAAAAAGAAAUAAGAACAAACCAUUUCAAAUAUUAAGCAACAAUAGCAUUUCCCUCAGUACUUAGACACAAAAAAAUAGCAACCAAGCAAAAAGAACAUCUCAGAUCAAAGAAACAGAAACUAAAACCGAAAGGUGAUUAUUUUUUUCCUAUUUCUAUUUCAUUUUUUUAACCUGUUUUAAUCUACCAUACAUAUUAAAAUAUAAUAAGAUAAUAAAAAAAUAACAAAAAAUGAACCUUUUUGAACUUUCGACCACCGUGUACGGUGGCCGGAGCCGGUGCCGGCGUCGACGAGCCUCCAAUGACCGUCCGGUGACCGGUUUCCCCACCGAAAAUCACCCCGUGCUCCCCUCUCCCUCAUUUUUUUUUCUUUUCCCUGUCCAAAUGUUUUUUUUUUCAGAUUUUUAGGCUAUUUAUAGCCUACCAAAACGGCACCGUUUUGGUACCAAAAUGGCACCGUUUUGGUGCCCAAACUUAGACUAAAAAAUGACGUCGUUUUACUUGGCCCGACCCGAUUCGACCCGAACCCGCUUCAGGAUCCGCGUGUUUUUAACUCAAUGGGAUAUUUGUGCAAUCGGUCCUUCCGCAUUUUUGUGUUUUAAAUCAAGUUUAUAUUUAUUUAUAAAUCGGCCCUAAAAUUUAAUCUGAUUUGCGAUCUAGUCCCUCCGUGCUGCACAGCGUUUUGGUGAAAGGGAAUAUUUGCUGUUUUAACCCUCCUAAGUUAUGCGCGCGUGGCAUUUUGGUCCUUCCCUGCUAUUUUAUUUCUAAUUUCGCCCCAAAAUGUUGUUUUAAGUUCAAUUUAGUCCUUUGGUUAAUUUACUGCUUUAUUUUUAAUUUACUUGUUUUCAUUUUCUGUAUUUUAUUUGUUAUAAUAUUUAUAUUUGUUAUAUUAAAUGUAUUUAUUAUAUGUCUUUUAAAUAUUAUGUUAUAUAUAUGUAUUUUCAAUAUUGUUGUUAUAUUUAUUAUUAUUAUAUAUAUUUGUUCUAGUAUAUAUGUAUAUAUUUACACGUAUAGGUUUAUUUUUAUUUCAAUAUCUUUAUUAUAUUUGUUUUUGGUAUUUUAAUAAUAUUGUUAUAUUAUUAUAAUAGUGUAUACUUUUAUUUAUGUACAUAGAUUUAUAUAUAUGAUGUAUUUUUGUUAUAUUAUAUUGUAUUUUAAUAUCGUUACUAUUAUAAUUGCUAACAUAGUGAAUGCCUUGUUAUAUAUGUAUAUGUUUUUAUGUCAUCAUUGUUGAUUAUCAUUAACUUUAAUAUGUGUCUCAUUAUAUGUCCUUAAAUAUACAUAUAGAUAUAUAUACAUGCAAUAUUAUAAUAGUUUUCUUUGACAUCAUUAUCUCCAAUAUAUGUAUAUGUUAUGUAAAUAUUUUAAUGUCAUAUUAUAUAUACAUUUUUACACUAUGCAUACAUACUUUUAACAUUAUAUUUUAUAUGUAUACUCUUAACAUCAUAUUAUAUAUAUAUCUUGCACAAAAUUUUUAAUACUUUACUAUAUAUACCUUUAUAUAUUAUAUAUAUAUUUUAGUAUUAUGUUUUUAUAUCUAUGUUUUAAUACCAUACUAUAUAUAUUAUUAUAUUUUAUUACAUAAUUAGUACCCAUGUUUUAUUAUACAUAUAUAUAUACUCUUUUAUUUGUGUUAUUUCCGUAUGUCAUAUUAUUCAUUUUUAUACUCAUUAUUUUCAUUAUUGUCACUUAUAUAUUAUUAUUUGGUGUACAUACAUCUUUUAUUAUUAUUAGUAUAUAAAUGUAUUUUCCUUGUCUAUAUUGUUCCUAAUAUAUAUUGCACAUGUUCAUUUAUACUAUGUGUACAUGUAUCUAGUAUAUAUAUAUUUAGUAUUAUUACACAUAUAUCUUUUAGGGAUUAUACUUUCAUGCGUCAUGUAUAUAUGUCAUGUAUUAUAUUUUUGCAUAUUAUCUUAUGUACAUAUUAUCUUAUAUUAUUAUUACUAAGUGUAUUUUAUAUUUGUUCAUGACUUGUUUUUUUAUUAUUAUUUCUUUUGUAAAUAUCAUUGUUAUUGUUUUUCUAAUGCUCUAGUGUUCAUGUUAAUAUUUUUCAUUAAUAAUGUCAUUAUUUGCAUCGUUGAUUUACUUAAAAUUCUCACUUUAUAAAUAUCUUUCCCAUGUUUUAAUCAAUUUCAAUAAUCAAGGCAAUGUAUCGAUUUAACAUUAAGUCGUAAGUUUCAUCACUAUGUUGGAUGAAAUUUAUCAGCUCGUGUUAAAAUGGUAUACCCUUCUCAAAAACUAAAAAAACUAAAACUAAAACUUCUCGUCUUUGCAAUCGGAUCACGACUAAAUGUUGCAUUGAAUUCGUAUUUUUGAAAAUCAAGACAACACAUGUUUAUACGAUACCAGUUUUGGGCAUCGCGAGGGUGCUAAUACCUUCCUCGCGCGUAACCGACUCCCGAACCUUAAUUUUUCUCUGGAUUUUAACGUAGACCUAAACUGAGCCUUCUUUUGUUUAAAAAAUAGAUCUAAUAGGUGUCCGAUCACACCUAUAAAAAAUGGAUUGGUGGCGACUCCUUGUUUAUUCUAAAAUAAAAUUUUAGUUUCCAAGUUUUCAAUAGAUCGCCACAAUUAGCACCCCAAACUAAAAAUUUUUACGUCGCUACAGCUAGCGACUCCACUGGGGACCCUCAUUUUUGAGAGUCGAGUCGAAUUAAACGCGUGUUGUCAAAAUUUUCAAAAUUCCUUGUUCAAAUUAAUAUUUAGUCGUGAUCCUAAAAUUGUGUUUUUGAAAAGUCAUGCAUUUGCAUCGUGUUGUAUAUAUUCUUCUAACUUGUUUUGUCUGGUUGUUUUAAAGCUUUAAAUUCUUAUGGUUUUAGUUUUGGUUUAGUUUUUAAAUAAAACAUAAAGGUUUGUGAGUUUCUCCCUACACACUGUGCACGUGCAUUCUUGCAUAACAUGAGCUCUAUACCCGGGCUCCAUCCAUUUAAGUGAAAGUAAACGCUAUGCCUUCGUGAGUUAACUCAUCCCUCCGCACAGGCUAGUGAAUACUUUCGGGUUACAUAUGACUUAUGCUUUCGUGAGUUAACUUGUCCCUCCGCAUAGGCAUAAGUAAAUCUAAUCCCUCGAAUUGAACUCGUGAGCCUGUGAUGGGCUACGACCGAGGCUUCGAACUAAUCUUAGUAGAUGACAGUACGGACAAUUCGAGUGCCUAUCUAGAACCGAAACCGCAUAUAGUGAACCGUACGAGCCACCUAACUAGAGCCAUGCCGAACCUCCGUCCGUUAAUGGUCACCAAAAUUAGUACAUGGGAGAAACGCCUCUUGUCUCUCAUUUUCUUUACAAGUACACUGUUUAUGCAAAAGAACUGAAUCGGGUAGCUUAAUUUGUUUCUCAAUUUAUAAUUGUUGUGGUUACUAACCAAGUUUGCUUGUUUUUAUUUUUAUUUUACAUCAUGCAUUAUAGGCAUCAUAUUAGAAAGGUGUUGACUAGAGAUUUGGUUGCCAAAAAAUGGGUUUCUAAUGGAAGAGUUAAUUAUACAAACAACCGAGAAGAAUGCCGUGGUUCGGGACUGGUCUCUAAAAACUCAGAAAGAAAAAGGGGAUAGUCUAGUGGAGGGAUGUAUUGCCAAUCUGCCCGAGCACGUAACUGUUAAUGUUCGCCAGAAUAACCUUGAAGAUUUGGUUCGGGUUUGGAAUCAGUGGGACUUGGACACUAGGGUUAUUUUCACCGAGAGAUAUGGAGACAUAGCCAAUUUGAUUGCUAUCAACGUAGACGAACGAUUGAUCCAAGCCAUGGUCAGAUUUUAGGAUCCGGCUUACCAAUGUUUUACCUUCAAUCGAGAAGAUAUGACUCUAACUAUAGAAGAGUAUGUUGCUUUACUUCGUGUUGAAAAUGCACAAUUCCAUAAAGUUUAUGUGAAGGAGCCUAAGCCAAUGACCUUCAAGAAAAAGUUAGUGAGAUUGACAGACAUGACUGACGCAUGGGCUGAAAAAUAGAUAAAGAAGAAGAAUGAAACCAUUUGCAUCCCAUGGACUUUCCUAUGAGAUUUGGUUUUGAACUGUCCCGACAUGUUGAAAAGAGUAAAUCUAUUUGCUUUGGCCAUUUACGGUUUGAUCAUCUUCCCGAAAGUCCUUGGACACAGAAGUUACGAUGGUGGAUUUCUUCGAAAGACUAAAACAAGGAAUCAACCCUGUCCCAACUAUCUUGGCCGAGACCUUUAGAUCCUUAAACAAUUGUAGGAAAAUGGGGAAAGAACGCUUUAUCGGAUGCGCGCAGUUACUAAAUGUCUGGAUUUUGAGCCAUUUUUGGAAAGUAGAGCGCACACCGUACCACAUGUUUUCAAAAGCUUUCGCCUCGUUGGAAGCCUAUAUUGAGAGAGAAUAGCCAAAGGAUGUCACUGAAGAACAAUGGCUUUCAGUUUUUCAAAACCUUCGAGCUAAAGAUGUAACCUGAAGAGCACCGUGGAUUCGCCCUUCGGUUCUAUUAUACAAGGUUGGAAAUCAAGAUUAUUAUGGGGAGGAGUUGGGUAUGCCACGCUAUUAGUCCAAAGGUAAUUUUCUUCGCGACAAUUCAUACCCGCCACUGGAGGAUUAGCACAGUCCGAGUUUGCUUUUGCGGGUGAAGGGUAUAUGAAGAGGGUCCGAGAUACUGCAAAGUCUUGGAAGAAAAUUCAUCUCAUGGAAUUAGCUCUAUAUGCUGAUACCCUCACCCAAGAUUACGACAUCUGGAAGAAACAAUGGGUGAAUAGUCAGCAAAUCUCGUCAACGAACUACACCGUCCAAAAUCCUUUCUCGGAAGAAAUGCCAUCUGAGCUAGAAAUAGCAAGACAAGAAUUUGAACGAGAAAAGGCCAAGAUGUCUCGGGACCUUAGUGCUCUUCAAGAGGAAAACUACCAAUUGACGAUCGACGUUUAGAUUGAAAGAUCUAGAACCGAGAAAGUGCAAAAAGAAGUUGAAGUCAUGAGAAAUGACUUAAGGGACCUCCAUCUAGAAAAUAAAAAGUUAAGAGGCAUAAUAAAAAAUAGUGGGCUGGGCAAGUCGUCGGCAGAAUGGAAAGAAGAAAUAAGCAACAUUAAAGGUGGGAUGGAAUUUUGAAAAAGAAAAGAGAAGAAAGAGGAGGAAAAGGCUGCACAGGCUAUGAUAGAACUGAGGAAGAAGAACGCCGAAUAUGAAGCUGUGUCUGCCGAGGUAAUGACUAGUCGAUCUAAAUGUCAAGAACUAAAAGAGAGGAUACGAGAGUUAGAAGAUAUACUGCAAGAUCAUCAACAACAGCUAGAUACUCUCUUGAAAGCUUUGGAAGAAAAGAAUAGCCAAUAUGAUAGAGACAUUCGUGCUUACGAAGAGGGCCUCCAAGAAAAAGAAAUACAACUUAGCUUUUUGAUAAAUGAAAUUCGUGGGGUAGCCAUGCACGUGGUACAACUAUCAGAAGCAGAUGAAAUUCUCAUUUGCCAGUUCCCACCAAGUCGAAGAUAGAACAUAUCAGAAUUUUUAGCACGAGUAAAGAAAUACGGCAAUAUAGCUAGGAAGUUUGUGUAAUGGCUGAAUCAAAAAUGGCAAAAUGUUUUGUAAUGAACUCUUUUGAUGAAUGAAAUGCCUAAAUAGGGGCUAUCUUGAAAUCAACACCAAUUUCUUGCAUUUCCUUCAUGAUUGGCAUUCAUUUAUGCAUUCAUUCAUUGCAUAUCCCAUAAUCAUUCGCUAAGGUUAAAAUAUACAAUUCGUAGUUGUAAUACCACAAGCCUGGAACCACGUCAUUUGUAUAGAACGCGUCGACAAACUAGGGCAAUGGAGGCUGAAUUCAAUGAAAGAAUCGAAAGAAUGGAAAGAGUCCAAAGGGAAUUACAAGAGCAGUUGGCCAAGUCGCAACAAGAGACAAGAGAUUUAAUGGUGAUAUCUCAAGAAGAAUCACUCGAACAGAAGGAUCAAAUGGCCAAGAUGAUGGAAAUGAUGUCAGCUUUAGUUAAGGGAAAGGGACCCAUGCAGAGCCCUGGCAUCGAGAAACCUCAAUCAAGAGUUAAUCACAGUCAAGAUCCGCUUUAUCCCCCAGGAUUCACUCCGCCGCACGCCCAUGCAACACAAAGAGGGUACACCCAAAGGGAACCCACAGACAUGGAGCAACGGGCGGUGCCACCUGCUCACGUAGGACAAAGAAUGUUUAUAUCAAACCCAGGGGCUAGUCCUGCUGAUCCACUCGUUCUAGAUUUGGACGAUCCAGCAGAAAUAGCGAAGUUGAAUAUCGGUGAUCACGAGGUUCAAGAGAAGUAUAGGAGCUUAGAGGAAAGACUUAAAGCAAUAGAGGGUACUGAAGCCUUCUCUACACUGAGUGCCAAAGAGCUCAGUUUGGUACCCGAUCUGGUUCUGCCUCCAAAAUUUAAAGUACUAGAUUUCAAAAAAUACGAUGGCACGAGAUGUCCAAAGGCGCAUCUUGUCAUGUUUUGCCAGAAAAUGACUGGUUACGUGAAUCAAGACAAGCUACUCAUACAUUGUUUUCAGGAUAGUCUCGUAGGAUCGGCUCUUCGGUGGUACAACCAGCUUAGUAGGGAAAAGAUCCAAUCCUGGAAGGACUUGGCGUCAGCCUGCUGUGAGCAGUAUAAGCAUGUAUUGGAUAUGGUGCCUGAUCGAAUGACCCUACAAAUGAUGGAAAAGAAACCAGUAGAAACCUUUAGACAGUAUGCACAAAGGUGGAGAGAUGCCUCGGCCUAAGUAGAGCCUCCACUGACUAAGACUGAGUUAACAGUCCUUUUCAUCAAUACUCUGAGAGCACCAUUCUAUGACAAGCUAGUGAGAAGUGCCACGAAGGACUUUGCGGAUAUUGUAAUAUCUGGUGAGCUUAUAGAGAAUGCCAUCAAGAGCAGUAGAAUGGAGGGUCAAAAAAGUUCAAGAAAGGUAGCGCACAUGAAGAAGAAAGAACCAGAAGCCCAUAUGGUGGGAAUGGGAAGCCGUUAUACCCUUAAUCCAUAUCCAAACCAACCCCGACCUCGAAAUUAUCCUCCCCCAAAUUUCUAUUAUCCUCCUCAGACCCCUUACUACCAAGCACCACCUCCUUCCUACCCUGUAUAAGCCAUGAACAACCAAAGGCCCGUCACUACAUUCCCACAAAACAUUCUACCCACUCAAAACCAACCCAGAAAUGAACCAAGACCAACAAGACCCAAUCCCAAGAGUCCGCAAUUCACCCCUAUUCCUGUGUCGUAUGGGGAACUGUACCCAAAACUCUUGGAGAAGCAAUUAAUAUCUUCCCAUUACAUGGCACCCCUAAAACCUCCAUACCCGAAAUGGUACGAUCCAAAUGCUGGUUGUGCAUACCAUGCCGGGAACUAGGGGCACUCUACGAAAAACUACUUGGCCUUCAAAAAGAGAGUUCAAUGACUCAUCGAUGCGGGUAUUCUGCGAUUUGAUGGCACUAGCGGUACAUCCGGGAACCCAUUCCCAAACCACGCCGAAGGGAAUGUGAGCGUAGUGGGAGAGGAGGACAAACGACAAAGUAGAAUAUGGGUUUUUGAAAUAAGAACACCUCUGCAGAAAAUCUGGGAGGUGCUAGUUGAAAAGGGGUUGCUCUGUCAUCUUAACAGAGUAUUCAAGGGAAGAAAUACAAAAGAUCAAAGUUUUUGCGAAUUCCAUGGUAUUGAGGGGCACGACAUUCAAUCCUGCGAAGAGUUCAGGAGAUUACUGCAAAAUAUGAUGGACAAUAAGGAGAUUGGGAUUUUUUAUAAAGGCGAAGAGGCCGAUAGAGGAGAAAUAUGCGCCUCUGACCAUCAAUCGUCAGGUUUCCCGUAUAGCACCGACCGACCAUUAAUAAUUUAUUAUGACGCAAAGAAAGAGCCAGUGAAACCAAAAGUGAUAAUCGAGGUACCAUCUCCUUUCCCCUACAAGGACAAUAAAGCAGUACCAUGGAAAUAUGACGUCAAUAUCGUCACACCUGAAGAUGAAAAACCCAAAGCCAUGACUGGAAGUGUUGGGGAAGUAGGUCAUUUCACUCGUAGUGGAAGAUGUUAUUCCAAAGAGAUUGAGCCAGUGAAGAAGAAUAGUGACUUGAAACAGAAAGGAAAAGCACUGAUGCACGUGACCGAAGAUGAGCAUGAAACUGUGCCUGAACAAGAAGCUAAAAAGCCUGUGGACGAGGAGGAAGCACAGGAAUUCUUAAAAUUUAUCAAGCACAAUGAGUACAACGUGGUAGAACAAUUGCGUAAACAGCCAGCGCGAAUCUCGGUAUUAUCUCUACUGUUGAAUUUGAAACCUCACUGCAACGCCUUGUUAAAGGUGUUGAAUCAAGCUUACGUGGCAAACAAUAUAUCCGUUGAAAAACUGGAUAGGUGGGUGAACAACUUGAAUACGGAUAAUUUCAUUUCUUUUAGUGAUGAUGAAAUACUGCCCAAUGGUAGAGGCUCAGUGAAAGCAUUGCAUAUCACAACCCGUUGUAAGGGCUAUAUAAUAUCGAACGUGCUCAUCGACAAUGGAUCGGCACUCAAUGUCAUGCCUUUGGCCACACUUUCUAGGAUUCCGAUGGAUUUGUCCUAUCUAAGGCCCUGCCAUUCUACAGUAAGGGCAUUUAAUGGAAUAAGACGAGAAGUCAUGGGAAAAAACGAGAUCCCUCUAGAAGUGGGUCCCUAUAUAUAUGAUGUUGAGUUUCAAGUCAUGGACAUUACACCAUUACAAUUGUCUCUUGGGAAGACCUUGGAUCCAUUCUGCUGGAGCAGUCCCAUCAUCCCUUCAUCAAAAGGUGAAAUUCAUCAUGGAUGGCUGUUUGGUCACCGUCGAGGGAGAAGAAGAUAUUGUAGCAUCUAUUUUUACCGACGCACCAUACAUUGAAGUGAGUAAAGAUGCUUUAGAAUGUUCCUUCCGAUCCCUUAAAUUUGUCAAUGCCACAUUCGUCGCUGAGGGAAACAGAAUUCCCGCGCCAAAAUUGUCAAGAAAUACCAGGAUGGGUGUCAAACUGACUGUAGGAAGGGGAGCUUGAGUGAGAAAAGGUUUAGGGAGAUAUUUGUAAGGAAUAGUCAGGGCUCUAAAGCCAGUGCACCACAAGGCCCGAUACGGUUUGGGGUUCUAGCCGGAAAUGCGUCAAAGACAAAAAUAGUGGAAGAAGGAUCAGGAGAGAAGAAUUGCGAGAACUUUGGGCCGAGAAAUAGAAUGGGAGCCCAUAACAUACCCUCCUUUGUUAAAAACAUUUACAUUUGCGGGAAUGAUAUACCCCGGACAGGUUAAUAUACAAAGCACGCUGUUAUUAAUUGAAAGGGGUCUUCAGAAUGUUAGUAUAAAUGUCAUUGACAAAGGAAGUGAGGCUAUUAAAGAUGUUUCAACGAUACGCCCUUAUCCUCCUGGUUUCAUGUUGAACAAUUGGACUACUGAGGACCUUCUUGUAGUUUAUAAGUCUUCAGAGUAAUGCUCAAACAUUAACCCUAUAUUGUGUCCUUAGAUAUAAUAGAAUUCUUUUGUAAGAGCUUGCAUUCACUCUUUAUCAUUUAAAUGAAUAUCAAUGAAGAUGCAUUUUGUCACGAUCUUUCGCAUUAUCACUAAUUUCAUAAUCAUCUCCUCAUUUCAUAGCCUAUCUAUACAUUUGCCUCAUACCAUGCCAUAACAUUUCGUUUGUUGGUCCAAUACUUGGAUGCCCCUCUAUAGUUUCCUUUUCCAUUCAACUUUCAGGUGCUCGGAUAUCAACAGCAUGAACAAACCCGUUACGAGUCCUAAAAUCGAUUUUGAGAAGACUGUUUGUUUAGGAGAAUUUGAAGUCGAAGAAAAUGCUGAAGACUAUGUCUCGUCUCCUGACUUGCUAAGAAUGGUGGAACAAGAGGAUAAACAAAUUUUACCUCAUCAAGAAUCUGUUGAAACAAUAAAUUUGGGAACUGAAGAAAAGAAACAAGAAGUGAAAAUUGAGACUUCUAUUUCAGAGGACACCAAGCAUAAUUUGAUUGCUUUGCUCCGCGAGUACAAAGAUGUAUUCGCCUGGUCAUAUCAAGACAUGCCAGGAUUGGAGAAGAUGUAGUGGUCCAUAAGCUCCCAUUAAAGCCAGAAUGCAAACCCGUUCAACAAAAGUUAAGACGGAUGAGACCCAAAAUGUUGUUGAAAAUAAAAGAGGAAGUCAAGAAGCAAUUUGAUGAUGGCUUCCUACAAGCAUCCAAAUAUCCAGAAUGGGUGGCUAAUAUAGUCCCGGUACCAAAGAAAGACGGCAAAGUACGAAUGUGCGUGGAUUAUCGUGACCUAAAUCGAGCAAGUCCCAAAGAUAAUUUUCCCUUACCACACAUUGAUACGUUGGUGGAUAACACAGCAAAGCACUCUUUGUUUUCUUUCAUGGAUGGAUUCUCGGGGUAUAAUCAGAUCAAGAUGGCCCCUGAAGAUAUGGAGAAAACUACUUUUGUAACAAUGUGGGGAACAUUCUGCUACAAGGUGAUGCCAUUUGGGUUAAAGAAUACUGGGGUAACAUAUCAGAGGGCUAUGGUAACAUUAUUCCAUGACAUGAUGCAUAAAGAAAUAGAGGUCUACGUCGAUGAUAUGAUUGCUAAGUCCCGAGGGGAAGAAGAGCAUGUAGCGAACCUAAAGAAGUUGUUCGACAUUCUGAGAAAGUUCCAGCUAAAGCUCAAUCCGGCCAAAUGUAUGUUUGGGGGUACCUUAGGAAAAUUGCUUGGCUUCAUUGUCAGUGAGAGAGGCAUUGAAAUUGAUCCAGAUAAAAUAAAAGCCAUUCAAGAGUUACCACCCCCGCGCACGCAAAAGGAAGUCAGAGGAUUUUUAAGGAGAUUAAACUACAUCGCCCGAUUUAUCGCUCAACUUACCAACCAAUGCGACCCAAUCUUUCGACUCCUUCGAAAACAUAAUCCUGGAGAAUGGAACGAGGAGUGUCAAGUGGCUUUUGACAAGAUAAAACAGUAUUUGUCUAAUCCUCCAGUGCUAGUACCACCAAUGCUGGGAAGACCAUUGAUAUUGUAUUUGACUGUGUUCGAGAAUUCAAUGGGUUGCGUACUGGGGCAACAUGACGAGUCAGGAAAGAAAGAAAAGGCGAUCUACUACCUCAGCAAAAAGUUUACUGAAUAUGAGGCAAAGUAUUCAUCCGUAGAAAAAUACUGCUGUGCUCUGGUUUGGGUAGCUCGGAGACUCAGGCAAUAUAUGCUGUAUCAUACGACAUGGCUAAUUUCAAAGUUGGACCCAAUAAAGUACAUGAUGGAAUCACCCGCACUCUUAGGAAGAAUGGCACGAUGACAGAUCUUACUAUCAGAAUAUGACAUCGUCUAUGUGAGCCAAAAGUCGAUAAAAGGGAGUGCAAUAGCUGACUUCUUAGCAACUCGAACAACGGAGGAAUACGAGCCAUUGAAAUUUGAUUUCCCAGAUGAAGACUUAAUGUGCAUUAUAGAAAAAGAAUGUGAGUCAUCAAAAGAAAAGUCAUGGAAGAUGAGCUUUGAUGGUGCAUCAAAUGCAUUGGGGCAUGGGAUUGGAGCAGUCUUAGUAUCACCAGAAGGGAACCAUUAUCCGUUCACUGCCAGGCUGAAUUUCUUCUGUACCAAUAACAUAGCGAAAUAUGAAGCCUGUAUCAUGGGACUUCGUGCAGCAAUUGAACGAAACAUCCAAACUUUAGAGGUAUACGGAGACUUAGCAUUGGUGAUUUAUCAGAUCCGUGGAGAUUGGGAAGUGGGGGAUUUAAAAUUAGUCAAAUACAGUGAUCUCGUGGCAGGGUUGAUUAAAGAAUUCAAAGAAAUAACUUUUAAUUACUUCCCACGAGAAGAAAACCAGUUAGCUGAUACCCUGGCCACUUUGGCUUCAAUGUUUAAAGUAAACAGAGAAACAGAAAUAAUGCCUCUUCAAAUGAGCAUAUAUGAAGUCCCUGCACAUUGUUUCAGCAUUGAGAAAGAGCCAGAUGGGCAACCAUGGUUCCAUGAUAUCUUAGAAUACAUCAAGAAUCAAAGGUAUCCCGAACAAGCAAAUGUGAACGACAGAAGAACAAUCAGAAGAAUGGCAGCGAGAUUUAUUCUUGAUGGAGACAUCCUAUACAAAAGAGGAAAAGAUCAGGUGCUCUUGAGAUGCGUGGAUGCUGUAGAAGCCAGAAAAAUACUUGAAGAUGUCCAUGAAGGAAUUUGUGAGACACACGCUAAUGGUUUCACUAUGGCCAGGAAAAUUAUGAGACUCGGUUAUUACUGACUGACGAUGGAAAGUGACUGCAUUAGUUUCACACGGAAAUGCCACAAAUGUCAAAUUUAUGGUGAUAAAAUUCAUGUAGCUCCUUCGCCCCUUCAUGUCAUGGCUUCUCCGUGGCCUUUUCUUAUGUGGGGCAUGGAUGUUAUAGGGCCAAUCUCUCUAAAAGCUUCUAAUGGACACCGGUUCAUUUUUGUGGUCAUUGAUUACUUUACAAAAUGGAUAGAAGCUGCUUCAUUUGCCAAUGUGACGAAGGCUACAGUUUGUAGGCUUUUGAAAAAGGAAAUCAUUUGUCGAUAUGGUUUGCCUGAAAGAAUCAUUUCAGAUAACGCCAUGAAUCUGAACAAUAAGAUGAUGAAUGAGGUGUGUGAACAAUUCCAAAUAAAGUAUCAUAACUCAUCACCCUAUCGCCCGAAAAUGAACGGAGCUGUUGAAGCGGCCAACAAGAAUAUUAAGAUGAUUAUUGGGAAAAUGAUCGAGACAUAUAAAGACUGGCACGAGAAGCUACCAUUUGCUUUGUAUGCAUAUUGUACAUAUGUGCGAACAUCUAUGGGAGCAACUCCUUUCUCUCUGGUCUAUGGCAUGGAAGCUGUGCAACCCAUCGAAGUUGAGAUCUCCUCUCUACGAGUCUUAAUGGAAUCAAAACUAGAAGAAAAAGAAUGGGUUCGAGCUCGAUAUGACCAGUUAAACCUUAUUGAAGAAAAACGUAUGAAGGCAAUCUGCGAUGGACAGAUGUACUAGAAGAGAAUGAUCGCAGCCCAUGAUAAGAAAGUACGGCCAAGAGAAUUCCACGAAGAAGGACUCGUGCUGAGAAAGAUUCUCCCAAUACAAAAAGACUUCCGAGGAAAGUGGGCACCAAAUUGGGAAGGACCAUACGUCGUAAAGAAGGCAUUCUCAGGUGGAGCUUUGAUUCUCACCGAGAUGGAUGGGAAGGAGUUACCGAAUCCAGUGAAUUCAGAUGCUGUGAAGAAAUAUUAUGCUUGAAAAAAGAAAAUCAAGAUGAAAACCCAAAAGGGCAUCUUAAAAAAAAUAGGAUCAAGGUGAAAAUCUGAAAAAGGGCGUCUUGAUUAACACAAAAGAUUAGGAUGAAAACCCGAAAAGGGCAUCCUAACGAAACAAACACUGGACUUAAAGAGCAAGGCAUUUUGAACAGUGGGUCAAACAGCGAGACUACAGUAUUUGAAGCAUUUUUGAAAGCUCGAAAUCUUCUACGCAAGAAGCCAUGCUCUAAAAGAUUCUAGAUGAAGGAACGUAGAAGAGUUCAUAUGUUGAAUAUCUAGAGCAUUUGUAUCCGUUGAAUGCGAUCCAUUUUCUCUUGAUGACACUUUUUACUAUCAUUGAUUAACUUUCUUUGUUUGCUACAUUUGAAAUAAAUAAAUGUGAGGUAGCCUUUUUGUCCCUACCUAACCAUUUUCAUGCAUCUUAUUAUGUGUUUAUUUACAUGAUAAAUAAUGAAAUGACAUACUCUAAACAAAAGAAAUGUUAAGCAUUACUUGAAUGAAAAUUUGACAAAUACAAGAGCCUCAAAGUAAGGACAAAGUUCAACCAGGAACAAAAGAGUGAUAUCUGAGAAACGUCGAUUACUCGCGAAGCUUGAAGACGGGUACAAAGCUUGAAGAGAAAGUCAAGAGUCAAAGUAAUGAACGUAGAUCAUCAAAAAUCGUGACGAAAAAGGGGCAUACGAUAAACAUGCCUAAGGCGCAUAGCAUAAUCAUGUAGGCAUAAAGGCAUUUAAGAUAAACAUGUGCAUAUCAUGAUGACAUCAUGCAUGACAUAUACAGGUAUUCCAGUAGAGCAAGAGGGUGUGGUGAUAGUUGUACUGAAUCAAAGGAAAAGACAUUUGAUUUCUACCAAUGACAGGUUUUGGUAUUUUGAUGUUUUAAUUCAUGUUUUCAAAAAUCAACUCAUAUUGCGAGAGGAGAGUUCAGCCUUUUAAUUUCUGUUUUUAAUUUAUACUUUUCAAAAAUCAACUCAUAUUGCGAGAGGUGAGUUGAACCUCGGGGCACGCUGAGGUAAUUUUAAUUUCUGUUUUUCAAAAAAAUCAACUCACAUUGCGAGAUAUGAGUUGAACCUCGGUUCACAUGUUCUGUUCUUUCAAUUUAUGUUUCAAAAGAAUCAGCUCAUAUUGCGAGAGGUGAGUUGAGCCUCAAGACACGCUGAGGUAAUUUCAAUUUCUGUUUCUGCUUUUCAAAAAUCAACUCAUAUUGCGAGAGGUGAGUUGAGCCUCAGGACACGCUGAGGUAUUUUCAAUUUCUAUUCUUCCAAUUUCUGUUUUAAUUCAUGUUUCCAAAAUCAACUCAUAUUGCGAGAGGUGAGUUGAGCCUCGGGGCACGCUGAGGUAAUUUCAAUUUCUAUUUUCCAUUUCUGUUUUUCAAAAAUCAACUCAUAUUGCGAGAAGUGAGUUGAGCCUUUUAAUUUCUGUUUUUCAAAAAGUCAACUCAUAUUGCGAGAGGUGAGUUGAGCCUUUUAAUUUUUGUUUUUCAAAAAGUCAACACAUAUUGCAAGAGGUGAGUUGAGCCUUUUAAUUUUUGUUUUUCAAAAAGUCAACACAUAUUGCAAGAGGUGAGUUAAGCCUUUUAAUUUCUGUUUUUCAAAAAGUCAACUCAUAUUGCGAGAGGUGAGUUGAGCCUUUUAAUAUCUAUUUUUAAAGAGUCAAUUCAUAUUGCGAGAAAUGAGUUGAGCUCAAGAUCACAUGCCGAGCAAGAAUAAAGAUUGAAGCUGAUGAAAGACACCAUUUGGCCUCCUUGAAGUUGCAGUAAAGUAGGUCAAAGUUACAAGUCUCGUCCCCCUGAAGUUGCAGUAGAGCUGAUCGAAGAUAUCAAAGCUUGCCUUUUUAGAGUUACAGAAGAGAAGAUCACAAACCCUAUCUCACUGAAGCGAUAGAAGAGCAGAUUGAAGCUGUAGACCUCAUCUUUCUGAAGCUGCAUGGAAGCAGAUCAAAGCUACAAAUCUCAUAUCUUUGAAGUUACAUUGAAGUAGAUUGAAGCUACAAAGCAUAUAUCAGAAGAUGCAAUGGACCAAAGCUACAAGAUACGAUGGACUGGAAGAAGACUAUUUGAACAAGAAGAACACCAAUGAAGUCAAGACUCAGCAAGACUAGGCAAAAUUGACCUUUCAUUAUGUCUUUGCUCCAUUCCCGUUGCACGACAAUGAGCAAAGAGGGGCAGCUGUACAGGCCAAUUUUGGACCCAAUACAACAAAACAUUAACCCAACCUCAACUCAUUUACAUCAGACCCAAUAACCCCCAAACCUUAACCCAAAUCAAACCCAUUCCCAAUACAUUACCCAAAUCAUUAAGCCCAUUAUCCAAACCCUACCCAAUCAGCUACCCGGAGCCCAAUGUUACCCACAAGCCCGUUUGCAAUAUUCAGCCCCAACCCACCUAAACCCAAAUCUACCUAUAACCUAAACACUCAACCCCAAGCCCAGAAGCCCAAUUUUAGACAUUAAGGUUUCAGUUUCUGAAACCCUAAACCUGCCUAGCGCCGCACCACCCCCACCAACCCUCUGACGGCCCCAUGCCCUCUGACGUUGCCUCAACAACCGCUCCACCGUCCUCCAUAUUGCACCAUCCCCUGCAAGCAUUAAAAGAGAAUAGACAGCAAGCAAGAAGAGAGCAGUAUAUAAUCAAAACAUACAAUGUAAAAAGGGGGUUCCUUUUUUCGUCAGUUUUGAAAACAAAAAGAAAUAAGAACAAACCAUUUUAAAUAUUAAGCAACAAUAGCAUUUCCCUCAGUACUUAGACACAAAAAAAUAGCAACCAAGCAAAAAGAACAUCUCAGAUCAAAGAAACAGAAACUAAAACCGAAAGGUGAUUAUUUUUUUCCUAUUUCUAUUUCAUUUUUUUAACCUGUUUUAAUCUACCAUACAUAUUAAAAUAUAAUAAGAUAAUAAAAAAAUAACAAAAAAUGAACCUUUUUGAACUUUCGACCACCGUGUACGGUGGCCGGAGCCGGUGCCGGCGUCGACGAGCCUCCAAUGACCGUCCGGUGACCGGUUUCCCCACCGAAAAUCACCCCGUGCUCCCCUCUCCCUCAUUUUUUUUUCUUUUCCCUGUCCAAAUGUUUUUUUUUUCAGAUUUUUAGGCUAUUUAUAGCCUACCAAAACGGCACCGUUUUGGUACCAAAAUGGCACCGUUUUGGUGCCCAAACUUAGACUAAAAAAUGACGUCGUUUUACUUGGCCCGACCCGAUUCGACCCGAACCCGCUUCAGGAUCCGCGUGUUUUUAACUCAAUGGGAUAUUUGUGCAAUCGGUCCUUCCGCAUUUUUGUGUUUUAAAUCAAGUUUAUAUUUAUUUAUAAAUCGGCCCUAAAAUUUAAUCUGAUUUGCGAUCUAGUCCCUCCGUGCUGCACAGCGUUUUGGUGAAAGGGAAUAUUUGCUGUUUUAACCCUCCUAAGUUAUGCGCGCGUGGCAUUUUGGUCCUUCCCUGCUAUUUUAUUUCUAAUUUCGCCCCAAAAUGUUGUUUUAAGUUCAAUUUAGUCCUUUGGUUAAUUUACUGCUUUAUUUUUAAUUUACUUGUUUUCAUUUUCUGUAUUUUAUUUGUUAUAAUAUUUAUAUUUGUUAUAUUAAAUGUAUUUAUUAUAUGUCUUUUAAAUAUUAUGUUAUAUAUAUGUAUUUUCAAUAUUGUUGUUAUAUUUAUUAUUAUUAUAUAUAUUUGUUCUAGUAUAUAUGUAUAUAUUUACACGUAUAGGUUUAUUUUUAUUUCAAUAUCUUUAUUAUAUUUGUUUUUGGUAUUUUAAUAAUAUUGUUAUAUUAUUAUAAUAGUGUAUACUUUUAUUUAUGUACAUAGAUUUAUAUAUAUGAUGUAUUUUUGUUAUAUUAUAUUGUAUUUUAAUAUCGUUACUAUUAUAAUUGCUAACAUAGUGAAUGCCUUGUUAUAUAUGUAUAUGUUUUUAUGUCAUCAUUGUUGAUUAUCAUUAACUUUAAUAUGUGUCUCAUUAUAUGUCCUUAAAUAUACAUAUAGAUAUAUAUACAUGCAAUAUUAUAAUAGUUUUCUUUGACAUCAUUAUCUCCAAUAUAUGUAUAUGUUAUGUAAAUAUUUUAAUGUCAUAUUAUAUAUACAUUUUUACACUAUGCAUACAUACUUUUAACAUUAUAUUUUAUAUGUAUACUCUUAACAUCAUAUUAUAUAUAUCUUGCACAAAAUUUUUAAUACUUUACUAUAUAUAUACCUUUAUAUAUUAUAUGUAUAUUUUAGUAUUGUGUUUUUAUAUCUAUGUUUUAAUACCAUACUAUAUAUAUUAUUAUAUUUUAUUACAUAAUUAGUACCCAUGUUUUAUUAUACAUAUAUAUACUCUUUUAUUUGUGUUAUUUUCGUAUGUCAUAUUAUUCAUUUUUAUACUCAUUAUUUUCAUUAUUGCCACUUAUAUAUUAUUAUUUGGUGUACAUACAUCUUUUAUUAUUAUUAGUAUAUAAAUGUAUUUUCCUUGUCUAUAUUGUUCCUAAUAUAUAUUGCACAUGUUCAUUCAUACUAUGUGUACAUGUAUCUAGUAUAUAUAUAUUUAGUAUUAUUACACAUAUCUUUUAGGCAUUAUACUUUCAUGCGUCAUGUAUAUAUGUCAUGUAUUAUAUUUUUGCAUAUUAUCUUAUGUACAUAUUAUCUUAUAUUAUUAUUACUAAGUGUAUUUUAUAUUUGUUCAUGACUUGUUUAUUAUUACUAUUAUUUCUUUUGUAAAUAUCAUUGUUAUUGUUUUUCUAAUGCUCUAGUGUUCAUAUUAAUAUUUUUCAUUAAUAAUGUCAUUAUUUGCAUCGUUGAUUUACUUAAAAUUCUCACUUUAUAAAUAUCUUUCCCAUGUUUUAAUCAAUUUCAAUAAUCAAGGCAAUGUAUCGAUUUAACAUUAAGUCGUAAGUUUCAUCGCUAUGUUGGAUGAAAUUUAUCAGCUCGUGUUAAAAUGGUAUACCCUUCUCAAAAACUGAAAAAACUAAAACUAAAACUUCUCGUCUUUGCAAUCGAAUCACGACUAAAUGUUGCAUUGAAUUCGUAUUUUUGAAAAUCAAGACAACACAUGUUUAUACGAUACCAAUUUUGGGCGUCGUGAGGGUGCUAAUACCUUCCUCGCGCGUAACUGACUCCCGAACCCUAAUUUUUCACUGGAUUUUAACGUAGACGUAAACUCGGCCUUCUUUUGUUUAAAAAAUAGAUCUAAUAGGUGUCCGAUCACACCUAUAAAAAAGGGAUCGGUGGCGACUCCUUGUUUAUUCUAAAAUAAAAUUUCAGUUUCCAAGUUUUCAAUAGAUCGCCACAAUUAGCGACCCCAAACUAAAAAUUUUUACGUCGCUACAAUGUGUUUCAUGUUUCAAUGUUAAGGCGCUACCACUCUGAUCCCAUGCACAUCGUCCCCGUUAAGGAGAUUGAGGUUAGGCCAGAUCUGACCUUUAAGGAGGAACUGGUUUAGAUUUUGGAUCGCGACGUUAAGAUUUUGAGAAGGAAAUUUAUUCCACUGGUUAAGGUUCUUUGUCGUAAUUAUAACAUUGAGGAGGCUACAUGGGAGCCUGAGGAUACUAUGCGUCAGUGAUAUCCUCAUCUAUUCUAAUCAGGUAAAUUUCGAGGCCGAAAUUUUCUUUUAAGGGGUAGAGUUGUAAUGCCUAGAAAAUCUCAUAUUUAUGUCCUGUUAAAAUAUGACACAACUGUGCAUCUGCUUCAGUGGUUAAGUGUUCUAGCUGUGUAUGUGAGGUCCCUAGUUCAAGUCAUGGUUUGGGCAAAAAUUUGUUUUUCUUCUAAAUCAAGCCCUAUCUCUGGUCGUAGGUAAUUCCAUAAUAAAAUGGGCCUACUGGUCUGCAAGCUAGGGUGUGUGUUGGCAGGUAGGAGGUUUGGAGUUCAAGUCCUUGUGUGAACAAGGAUAUUAUUUUUUGUGUGAUCAAUUUUCCUAUUUCCCCAAAAUUUUCUUUUCUUUCUGACCUCAGAAUCCUUUCCUUACUUUCUCUCUACCGAAUUUUGCUUUUUGCUCCACCUCUUUGUUUAGUUUUUCUUUUGGUUUUCAGUCUGAUCAGUGAUUGAAGGCGUGUUUUGUAAGUAUAUUUUUGUCCCUAUUUUAUCGUUGCGUGGCUAGUUGUUUUAAAAGGAUUUUGGUUUGCUGUUGGUAAAUAUUUAGAGUACGUUUUUGAUCUUCUAACGGUUCAAUUAUUAAAUAUUUUGGUUUAGUGUUUGCUUGUAUUACUAAAGUUGGACCUUGGUAAUGUCAAUCAUAGGGUCUAGAAUACGAGAUUGUGUUUUGAGAGCGAAAACGAACCAGGUGUGUACUCGAAACUGUAAAAAAAUGAGGUUUUGACGAAAGCCAAAAACCAUUCUAUCGACGCCACAUGGGAGUGUGGUCACCCGUGUGGUAGGCCGUGUGAUAGAACAAGGGCGUGUGAUCGAGGAGCCAGGCUGCGCACAUUAGACACUGCCGUAUGAUGGCUAGGUGGGCCGUGUACGACACAAGAGCUUAACCAACUUGGGCCGUGUGAGCUACACGAGCGUGUGGGAAUUUGAGCCAGGCCGUGUGAUCACAUGGCCAAGGCCAAUCUCUGCCGUGUGGGCUACACGGGCAUGUGGGCCCAUACGGGCAAGCCAAAUGGGCGUGUAAGCCCAUUUUACUGAAAUGUUUCCUAAAGUUGCAUGGGUCGCCCAAGUCGAUUAUGAACCUGUUGUAGGGUCGGUAAGAACUACUUAGACCCCUAGCUGACUGAAAUGACUGUUUGGCUGACGUAUAUAUAUUUACAUGUUAUCGAGGAUGAUGAUAUUUAAUGAAUUGAUAUUGUAUGCACUGUUGCCAUGAUAUAGUAUAUUAUUAUUGUAUGUUGCAUUGCAUUGGGAUAGGGGUUGGUAUUGUUUGGAGGAAGUGUACUGAAAUGCCUCGGGCCUAAUUUACUGGCAGCUCAGCGCAAAUCACUGUUUAGUGCCGCAUUCAGUACUUUUGGGAGUGUAGUGAUGGGUGGGUUGAUUAUAUCCCCACAUGGAGUGUAGGGUUAGACGGAGAUGGUGUGUAGAGGCUGGCUGGGUAGGAUUUUGUGACUGCAUAUCUAUUAAUGCUACUGAUAUGUUGAUGGGCUAAGGCCCAAUUGCAUGACUAAUACUGUUACUGAAAAUGGCUUAGGCCCAUGCUGCAAUCUUGUGCAUAUUGUCUGUUUGUUUAUAUGGGGAUUACACACUGAAUUUACGUAAACUCACCUCUUUGGUUUAACCUAUCCAGGUAAUCCCCAGACUUGACGGAUCGGUGCAGCGGAGGACUCGAUGGUGGCACACGAUCUCUUGACACUGUUUCGCACUUAUUUAUGAUUUUAGGUUUUAUUUUGGUAUUUUAUUGUAAAUAUGGCCUCUAUGGAUUUUUAUUUUAGUUUGGGAUUUUUGUUGGUUUCGAUUUAUUACUGCUAGUAUUAGGAAAACUCAGGUUUUCAAAAGAAACAACGUUUCAACAAAAUACACACAAAUACGCAAAUUGUUUUAAAAGCUUCCACUUUGAAUAAACGUUUUGAAAACUUUCUACUGAUUAAAUAACACAAUUUUAGAGUUAAUAAGUAAUAAUGAAAAGUUUAUAAACGGAAAUUGUUUUAAGCAAAGUUACGUUUUUUUUAAAUACCCUACCAUGUGACAUCGCCUGAUCCGAUCAUAGUGUCCAAGCCGAGUUUGAGGUGUUACAAAUGUAACAUUUCCAUUAGAAUGAGUCUAAAAUAAGUUGUACUCUUUUCCUUUAACCAAUGUUUUUUCCCAUUGGAUUUUCCUGAUGAAGGUUUUUAAUGAGGCAGCUUGUAAUAGAAGACUGUGUACUCUUUUCCUUCAUUAGGUUUUUAUCCCACAGGGUUUUUCCUAAUAAGGUUUUAACGAGGCACAUUAUCUACCAAUGGGCAUCCAAGGGAGAGUGUUAUGAAUAUCUUAUUAAGUGGAUGUUCAUCAUGAUCAAGGUAAAGUUUUGGUAUACUUUAAAUUCUAAUAGUUAUUAGAAUUAGAUCUCUACUUCUUUUAUACUUCUUAUGCCUAUAAAUAGAGACUCUGAUGAAGACUGUAAUCAUCCCUUUGAUUAAUAAAGUACAUUCUUUAUUGCUUUCAUAUUUUUUUUAUUCUUUAUUCUCUCCAUCUUUCUUUAUUUUAUAACAAAUUUGAUUUUUUUUUAAAUUUAGUUAAUUUAUAUUUGUAAUUAAAUUUUUGUCUACAUAUAGCAACUAUUACUAAUUCAGCUUUAUUAUUGUCCAUUACAGUAAUGUUUUUUCUUCUAUUCACUUUAUUUAAACAUUUUAAUUAAAAUGUUUUUAGAAAAUUAGAAAUUAGACACUUCAAAUGACAUUAUUAGGUACAGUAAAUUUUUUUAUUAAAAUGUUUUUACUUUUUAUUUUACAUUGUUAGAUUUUAUUGUAUUUAUGAUUUAUAAGUUUGAUUUUUUAUAAUUACAUUAGCCACAUUGCCCCUAAUUUUUAUCAAAUACAAAAAGUUCAUUGAAUGAUAAGAAACUAAUUACAACUUCGAAUAUUUUAGGAAUACUUGUACAUUCUCUUUUAGCUCAAAUAAAGGAAUUGAUGUUUCAUUCUUAUCCUUAUGGAUAGGCUAAUAAAUAAAAAGAAAUAAAAAACAAUAUAUCAUUGAAAUUCUCAAUUUUUGAAGAGAUUUUUUUAUUUAUUUUACUUCGGAUGAGCCGAGACAAUAGGAUGAACAACAAGGGUUCUGUAUCGUGAACUUUGUAUCGCGCACAUCACUUAGAUGAACUCUAGAGAGUCGCAUAGAAGAGAAUGAAAAAAUGGAAUAGGAAAGGGGAUCGGAUUCUAUUUGUCCUGUAACUGAGAUGAGUCUUGGUUAUUUCUAUCCUUGAACUCCUCUAAAUCCGACUUUUUGUUGGGCAACAUGACAUAAUUAAAAAUUUAAAGUUUUCUCGCAUAUUAAUUUUUUUUCAUACAAAAAGUUUCAAAAAAAAAAAACAAGAUAACUUCUUAAAAAUAUACUUUAUUUAAGGUUUGUGUAAAAAUAAAAGACAAUUGUAAGCCUUACUAAACAUUUAGGCUAUUUUCAUCACUAAUUCUUCUAUUUAUUAUUUAUAAUAUAAAAACUUCCAAUUUAGACUAAUUAAAUAAGUAUAAUUCAAGGUUUCUGAAUUAUUAGAAUAAUUAGAACAGUGAUUUUUUCCUUCGUAUUAAUAAUUUAAUUUAGUUUAUUAGUUGAUAUUCUGAAGUUACUUUAAUAUAAUUUUAUAACUAUCAAUUCUUAAUAAUUUUCUUUCUUUUAAGAAAAUCUUUAUUUUAAUCUAUCAAAAUCAUGACCUCGUAUCGCUAUUCUAAUUAUUUGACGGAUUCUUGAAUAAAACUGGGUUCAGAUGAAUUUUUGACGGGUUUUUGAAUUUUCUAUCACCAAAUUUAUUGAGUCAAGAAUAAAAUAGAUGAAUAUAUUUAUAAGUUUUUUUAAAAAAAAGUCAAAGAAAUAAUAUUUAGCCAUUAUUUUUGGAUUUUUUUAAUUAAAAAUUGUCACCUGUCACAAAAUAAUUGGCCAAGAGAUUUUUUUUUUAACAACUGGGGUAAUUUGAGUAAUGCUGUACCAUUUUAUUGUUUAAAUCUUAAAAUUGUUAUUCAAAUUAUGAUGGUAAAGAUAAUUAUAUAAUUAUUUUUCUUACAUGAUGUCUAAAAACUAGUUAAAAUUUUGUGAAAGUUAAAAUACAUAAAUUAAUAAACUUUUUUUAAUGUUGAAUGUUUAAUAUAAAUGAAAUUAACAUAGAAAUACUUUUAACUCACAAAUAUCACAAUUCAAAUAUAUACAUUAUUUAAAAGUUAAACUUAACAUAUCAUUAAUAUAAAAACAAAACUCACCUAAACAUAUACGUGGCAGAUCCAACUACGGUGGAGGCAUGAGCUUGUCUUCAAGUUUUAAUUGUGGUAGAAGAGUUACGGUUCUAAAAACUGGUGGCUGAGGGGGAUUCUGAAAAAAGCAUAGUCACUAAAGGAGGAUAGAUCGAGCAUCGCCACUUUGAUUAGAGAAAUAAAGGAGAGAGAAAAGAGAUUUGAAUAGCUCAAUUUCAGAUCUGUACCUAGGUCGAUGAAUCGGGUGGCUCAUACUCUGGCAGAUGAAGGAAGGGCCUUGUCGUCUCUUAGGUAUUGGAUAGAAGAGGCAUCGACAAGGGUGGAGGAGGAAGUUGAUAGGGACCGAAGAGGUUUGUUGUGAAGGGACUGAAGGAAGAAAGUGGAUGGGGUAGAGGAAAUGGAAUCUUGGGGACUCCGACGGUUCAGAUCUACAAGGAUCCCUCGCAUUCUCAGUAAUUCAUCAAUCUGAUGGAAGCAAGACGAGGGAUUUCUAAUGUUACUCUGACUAAUGAACGAGUUCAUGAAGAAGAAGGUUGCGAUUUGGUUAGGAGUGUCGAUUCAGGUUUUAGGAUUUUUCUUUCUGAUUUUUGUUUUACUUUAGCUAUUUCCUUUAUUUUCUUUAAGUAGGGGCAACCACUGUUUGCGUUAACCAGUAGAAGAGUGACAAUUGUAAUACAUACACUCUAAACCUUUUUGUGAAAUGAAAUUCGUUAGUUUUUAUGUAAAAAAAACCCCAAAAAUUAUAUAAACUUCAAAAUAAUAACUAAGUAAUUUAGUAAUUACCAUCUAAUUCUAAUACUAAAUAUUAAUCAUACGAGUAAUAUAAAUUUAAAAAAACAAUAUACAUGCAUGAAAAUUUUGAAUUUAUUCACAUAACUUUAUAAAAUAUAAAUUAUGAAAAAGAACUUUGAAUUAAAUUUAUAUACCAUAAUUUUUGUUAAUAGAUGUGUUAAGAAAACUAAAAAUGUAUUAAUAAAAUCAAAUAUUGUCUUUGAAUUAGUUUGUAAAGAUGGUACACACUUUUAACACAAAAAAAAUGUUUGAAACUUGGUCUAUAGUUGAUUUUGCUGUGGGUUUGAACUCUACAGGCUCGAUUAGCGAGAUUGGAUGGGUUACAAAGAAGGUAAGGAGGCAGACGAAUGUGGCACCGGAUUUUGUUGAUCCGGUGGUGGAUGUGAAUGGGAAAAAGGUGCAGGUUGAAUAUGCUACAAAAUUUUCUUACAAGGCUACUCUUUUAGGAGCCAAUUCAAUACCAACCUUGUCUAAUACUAUGGGGGAUGAUUUUUUCUUACAAGUAGAGGAUGUGGCUAUAGAGAUAGUUGAUGGCAUCCCAUUGAUAACAUUUUCUGAAUGAGUGCAAUAGUUUAUUGAGAAGAAAAUGGCGAGAACUCUUGUAGUCAAAAUGCUUGGAAGAAGUAUAAGUUUUAAUACGCUACUCAAUAAGGUGUCCUCUUUGUGGAACCAUAGAAGCCACAUUCAACUUAUGGACCUAGAGAAUGAUUUUUGCCUUCUACAAUUUUAGGACAAGGAUGAUUUUGAUAAUGUGCUAAUGGAAGGGUCGUAGGUGAUAUUUGGGCAGUACUUGUCGAUCAGGCUAUGGUCGUCAACGUUCUUUGCUUCAAGUGGUAUGGUGGAUAGUUAAAUAGUUUGGAUAAAAAUGCAUGGUUUGUCAGAAUGCUUUCAUUUUGAGUCUCUUUUUCAUUCAAUCGACCAAAUUAUUGGUCCGGUAGUCAAACUUGAUGCAUAUUGUUUCAGCAAGGAGGUGACAAUUUGCUUAUUUAGUAGUUUGUGUGGAUUUUUGAAAGUAGUUGUCUCAAAAAUUAAAAUCAAUAGACAUAUGCAAAAAAUGGAAUAUGAAUCACCUCCAAAUGUGUGCUUUUGAUGUGAAAUUUACGAACAUAACUUGGAGCUUUAUUUGGGUAUCGACAUGCCGGAGAAGGAGGGUGAGGCUAGUAGUCGUAAAUCAGAUGUUGAGGAAUCUGACUUGAAAGAUCGAGUGGAGGAAGAAUCUUAUGGACUGUGGAUGCUGGUGGAACACCGAAUCAGAGGGAAGGGAAGAGGUUCAUCAAAAAAUAGGCAAACCAAUGGUCGUGGUUUCAGAUUCAGAGGUUCAAGAUUUUCUAUUCUUGGGAUGUUAACACCCCUAAACCGUAUCCGUCACUGGAAUAGGGUUACGAGACAUUACCGGAAAAUACACAUCAUUUACAAACAUUUAAGCAUUCUAAUCAACAUUCAUUCAAAUCAUUCACAUUGUCCCUUAUAAGGCUCUACGAGACCUUAAAACAUGCUUAGAAGUGGUUCGGGACUAAACUGAUAACAUUUGCAAACUUUGAGAGACUUAGAAAAUUUUCAAACAUAUAAGGGUUACACGCCCGUGUGAAUAGGUCGUGUGCCUCACACGGUCACCAGACACGCCCGUGUCACAGACCGUGUGAAAACAAGGCAUGCAUACUGACUUGUGCCACACGACCAAUGACACGCCUGUGUGCCAUGGCCGUGGGAAAACUAUGGAGGUUACUGAUUUGGGUCAUACGGCCGACCACACGCCCAUGUGUCAGCCCGUGUGCCAGAUACUACCAGCAGACACGCUUGUGUGUCUAAGCUGUGCCAAAACUGUAAGGUAUACUGCCUUAAUUCAGAAGGGCACCCUAAGGGACACACGGCCGUGUAACAUGACCGUGUGUCGCACACGAAUGAGACACACGCUCGUGUCUCUACCCGUGGGGACAAAAAUAGGCCAUUUGCAAAGCCAAUUUGCCACCAUUUUCCUCAUGCACACCUAGCCAUCAAAAUGGUAUUAUUUCAAUACAUAUAUGGGCAGCCAAAACAUGCUAAAUCACACAUAUAUCAUGCCAUCUAACAUUAACCAUUUCAACUACUCAAUACCAUAAUAAAAAACAUACCGAAUCAAUAUACCAAAAUCAUCCAUCUCAUAUAAAUUUGUAAUAUAUUUUCAUCACCUUUCUAUCAACCAAAUCAUGCUUCUCAUCAUACUAAUUCAUUAUUUAUAAAUUAUACCGAAAUAUACCAUUUCUCAAGCAUUAAUAUAUCAACUAAUAACUAACCAAAUGAGAAACCACUUAGUCAUACCAACAACUAUUACAAACAUGCCAAAACACAUGGUAACUUAUAAACAUUACAUAUAUCACUUGUCCAACAUAUAAUUCAAGCCAACUUAAAUAGCCAUAUUCCAACAUUUACAAGCCAAAUCUCAUGGCUAUAAUCACGACUUAAAAUAUACUAAGAUGACACUAGCCUGUACAUGCCAUAUACCAUAUAUAUAAAGCUCCAAAAGUACCAACAAGUAGUCGAUAGUGUGAUGAUGGUUCCCUAUGAUCCCCAAUGUUUGAGCUAGCUCUGAUAAUCUAUAAAACAUGGAAAGAACAUACAAAGUAAGCUUUAAAAGCUUAGUAAGCCAUAUACAAAUAAAGCUUUUAUAUAAACCUUUGCAUAUCAAUUCAAAUAUGCUAAACAUAGCUAAUCACAUUCAAAAUUUACAAACCUUUCUCAUUGAACAUAUAUUCAAUGUCUUAAUCCAAUUCAUCAAUUACUUUCUCUUCUCAAUGCUCGUAUGAAUUUCGUACGUACCUGAAUAACUUAGCUCAUUCACAUAUUCUUUCUCAACUUGACUUUGCCUAUUGAACCAUUUGAAAUCGUUAAUGUUACUUAGCAUACACAUAUAGCUCGUACAAUGCCAUAUCUUAGAUAUGGUCUUACAUGUUAUCACAUAUCGAUGCCACUGUCCCAGACAGGGUCUUACACGUAAUCUCAAUACAAUGCCAAUGUCCCAAACAUGGUCUUACAUGUAAUCACAUCUCGAUAACCUAAUGACAUGAUAUUCGUAUCCUAUACUAUUUCUAAGGUUAGUGUCGGACUUUCGGAUGCCGUGACUUCAUCGAUUCAUGCUCGUAUUUGCUCAUUCGACGUUCACAACAAUUCAAUGAUAAUAAAACAUAUAUAAUUCAAUUCAAAGACAUUUAUUUGCAUAUGCCUUACCUCGUAGUCGGAGUAAAGGGACUGGAUCGACUAUUAAAUAACUUUCGAUUUACCCCGAUAAACUAUUCAUCAACACAUUCAAUUUAAUCCACAAAUACAUAUGUGGACAUUUUUGCACUUUAGCCCCUAAAGUUACACAUUUUUCAAUUUAGUCCCUAUUUCAUAAAUACACAAAAUUCAAUAUGACCCAUGCUUAGCCAAUUCUCUAUAGGUUCCUAGAAGCCCAUAUUUCACAUUUAUUUCAUAUUUCAACCCUUCAAUUUACACUUUUCACAAUUUAAUCCUUAAUAUGCAUUUUUACUCAAAAUCACUUUACAAAACAUAUUAAUCUAUCGACAAACUUCCAUAAUUCAUCAUCAAAUGUCCAAGAACCUAUUAAUUCAUCAAUUGUAACUUUCAAAAUCAUUAAACACUUUCAAAAAUUAGGGCAUGGGCUAGCUAGCACUCAAAGCAACGAUCACAAAAACGUAGAUUUCAUUAAAAAUCGAGCAAAAUACAUACCUCAAUUAAGCCACACAAGUGCCGAAUGUUUUAAGCAUCAAAACCCUAUUUUAUUUUCUCAAUUUUGGUUGUGAAAGAUGAAUGAACACAAAUUUUUGGUUUUAUUUUAUUAUAAUUAGAACUUAAUAAUCAAUGUACUAAUAUAACCUUAUUAUAAACCAUUUAAAAACAUCAUAUUAAUGCCCAUUUAUGACAAAUUCCACUAUCAAAGGUCUAAUUACAUCAUAAGGACCUCACAUUUAGUAAGCCAUAGCAAUUAGACACCUUUAUCAUAUGGAAUGCAACUUUUGCAUUUUACGCGAUUUAGUCAUUUUUCUCAAAUUGAGCUAUUAAAUGAUAAAAUUAACUCACAAAAUUUUCACACAUGUAUAAUCACAUACUAUAAACACCAAAAAUAAUAUUAAAAUAAUUUUAUGACCUCAAAUUUAUGGUUCCAAAACCACUAUUCUGAUUUAGCUAAAAUCGGGUCAUUACAACUCUCCCCCCUUAGGUAUUUUCGUCCCUAAAAAUCUUACCAGCGAAUAGGUUUGGAUAUUGCUUUCUCAUAGCAUUCUCAGGUUCCCACGUAGCUUCUUCAACCCCAUUUCAAUGCUAUAAUACUUUUACUAAAGCUAUUCUUUUAUUUCUCAUCUCUUUGAUUUCACGAGCUAGAAUUCGGAUCGGUUCUUCAAUAUACGAUAAAUCUGACUGAAUCUCAACUUCAGUUGGGAAAACGACAUGUGAAGGAUCAAUUUUGUACCUUUGUAGCAUCGAUACAAGAAAUACAUUACGAAUCUUUUCUAACUCAGACAAAAUUGAUAGUCGAUAAGCCACUAGUCCAACUCACUCGUUAAUUUCAUACGGCCCGAUGAAUCGCGGACUCAAUUUUCGUUUAUGACAAAAUCAAAGUAUUUUCUUCCACAGAGAUAGUUUCAGAAAUAAUUUAUCCCCAAUCUGAAUCUUUCCGUUUCAAGUCUGCGUAUGAUUUCUGUCGAUCUGACGCUUCUUUCAAACUAUCGCGUAUUACUUUCACUUUUUCUUCUGAUUCUCUAAUUAGAUCAACCCCGUGAAUCUUAUCCUCACUUAGUUCAGUCCAGUACAAAGGUGUUCGACAUUUUCAACCAUAUAAAGCUUCGUACGGUGCCAUUUUAAUACUUGAUUGAAAACUAUUAUUAUAAGCAAAUUCAAUCAACGAUAAAUACUUUUCCCACGUACCUUUGAACUCAAGAAUGCAACAUCUCAACAUAUCCUCGAGUAUCUGUAUAACUCGCUCGGAUUGACCAUCUGUCUAUAGAUGAAAUGCAGUACUAAAAUGUAGUUUUGUACCCAGUGCAUCUUGUAGUUUCUUCUAAAACCUCGAUGUGAAUCUCGGAUCUCUAUCCGAAACAAUAGAAACAGGUACUUCGUGUACUCGAACAACCUCAGAGAUAUAGAACUCAGCUAACUUUUCAAGCGAAUAGUCCGCUUGUACUGGAAUGAAAUGAGCCGAUUUUGUCAAUCUGUCAACUAUAACCCAGAUCGUAUCUUUUUUUCUCAGAGAUAGGGGCAAGCCCGAAACAAAAUCUAUAGUUACUCUAUCCCAUUUCCAUUCAAGAAUCAUAAUCUGCUGCAAUAAACCAGACAGUACCUAAUGUUCAGCUUUAACUUGCUGACAAAUCAAACAUAUCGAAACAAAUUCAGAAAUAUCACAUUUCAUGCCAUGCCACCAAUAAAGUUGUUUCAAGUCAUUAUGCUUUUUUGUACUUCUCGGAUGAACAAAUAAGCAACUGCUAUGUGCUUCGUUCAAAAUCAUCUGAAUCAACUCUGAAUUUCUCGGAACACAUAUUCGGUCUAUGAAUCUUAAACAAUCCUUGGAAUCAACUUGAAAUUCUGAAUCAGGGUUUCAAUCACAUCGAGCUCGUUUUGCUAACAUUUCAUUAUCAACUUUCUGUGCUUCAUAAAUUUGUUGUACAAACAACAUUCUCGCUUUCAACUCAGCUAUAAUCAAGCCGUCAUCAGAAAUAGUCAACUGAGUAUUCAUAGCACGUAGAGAAAAUAAAUAUUUUCGACUUAAUGCAUCAGCAACAACAUUAACUUUUCCCGGGUGGUAGUCAAUCACUAGCUCGUAAUCUUUUAGUAAUUCUAGCCAUCUCUGCUGUCACAAAUUCAAAUAUUUCUGAGUCAUCAAAUAUUUCAAACUCUUGUAAUCUAAAUAAACAUGGCAUUUCUCACCGAAUAGAUAAUGGCGUCAAAUCUUCAACGCAAACACAAUGGCUGCUAACUCUAAAUCGUGCGUCAGGUAAUUCUUUUUAUGUGGCUUCAACUGUUUCGAGGCAUAAGCUAUGACUUUACCUUCUUGCAUCAAAACGCAACCCAGACCAUUCAGCAAUGCAUCACUAUAGAUUACAAAUUCUUUACACGAUUCUUCCUGUACUAACACUGGAGCUUUAGUCAAAAGAGUUUUCAACUGAUCAAAACUUUUCUGACAUUUCUCGGGCCAUUCAAACUUUAUAUUUUUCUGAAGCAAUCUCAUCAAUAGAGUUGCAAUCAUCAAAAAGCCUUUUACAAACUGUCAGUAAUAGCUGGCUAGUCCCAGAAAACUACAAACUUUAGAUACAUUUCUUGGAGGCUUCCAAUCCAUUAUUGCAAAAAUCUUGCUCGGAUCGACUCGAAUGCCCGAUGCUGACACCAUAUGCCCCAAAAAACCAACCUCACGCAACCAGAAUUCACAUUUAUUGAACUUUUCAUAUAACUACUUAUCACGCAGAGUCUGCAAUACAAUUCUUAAAUGCUCGGCAUGCUCAGUUUCAUCUCUCGAAUAAACCAAAAUAUCAUUUAUGAACACAACAACAAAUCGAUAUAGGUACGAUCUAAAAAUACGGUUCAUUAAGUCCGUAAAGAUAGCAGGUGCAUUCGUUAGUCUAAAAGGCAUAACUAAGAAUUCAUAAUGACCAUACCUCGUUCUAAAUGAAGUUUUCGGCACAUCAAAAUCUCUAAUUCUCAACUGGUAAUAGCCUGAUCUCAAAUGUAUCUUUGAAAACACUGUAGCCCCUUUCAAUUGAUCAAACAAAUCAUCAAUCCGCGGUAGAGGAUAUUUAUUCUUGAUCAUCACUUUGUUAAGUUGUCGAUAAUCUAUACACAUUCCCAUCGUGCCAUCUUUGUUUUUCACAAACAACACAAGAGCACCCCAAGGUGAGAAACUCGGUCGUGCAAAUCCUCUAUCUAUCAACCAUUGCAAUUGAGAUUUCAAUUCUUUUAACUCUAUUUGAGCCAUUCUAUACGGAGCUAUCAAUAUAGGAGUUGUUCCCGACAAUAACUCAAUGCCGAAAUCAACCUCUCAGAUCGGUGGUAUACCCGGUAACUCUUUAGGAAACACAUCUGGGUAUUCACACACAACUGGCAUUGAUUCGAUCUUCUUUUCAAUUACUUUCAUAUUUAGCACAUAAGCAAAAUAAGCUUCGCAACCCUUUCUCACAUAUUUCUGAGCUAACAUCGAUGAAAUCACUGUUGGCAAGCCAUUCAAAUCAUCUGUUUCAAUUCGGAGAAUCUCAUUAUUCUGACAUCUCAGAUCAAUCAUUUUUCAUUUACAAUUCACAACAGUAUCAUGCAUCGUUAACCAAUCCAUACCCAGAAUUAUAUCAAAUUCGUCAAAUGGUAAUAACAUCAGAUCAGUCAGAAAACAAAUAUCCUAAAUCAUCAACAGACAGUUCUUGCAUACUUUAUCAACCAACACACACUUGCCUAAGGGGUUCGAUACUCUAAUUACAAAUUUAGUAGACUCUACAGGUAAAAGUCUUACUAAAUUCACACAUAUAUACGAAUGAGUUGAUCCUGGAUCUAUCAAUGCAAUCACUUUAGUGUCAUAGAGAGUAAAAGUAUCGGUAAUGACGUCUAGAGAUAACGCUUCUUUGCGAGCACGAAUAGUGUAGGCUCGUACAGGUGCUCUCGCCUCUGACCUCACAACAGAGUCUUUAGCCACUUUUUAGCUAGCAGCCACAUUUCCUGUGUUUCUGGGUUGUUUACCUUUAGCUGAAAUGUUACUCGACCUCACAUUCUGUACUAUAUCUUGUUCAGCCAACUCCGGACAAUCACGGAUAAAAUGAUCCAAUGAUCCACAUUUAAAACAAGCCCGAUCAUUCAAUCUACAAUCACCGAGAUACCUUUUACCACAAUGUUUACAUUCAAGUCGGUUAGGUCUCACACUGCCAACACUAGCAAUCGAAGUAGUUGGAGCUUUGAAGCUCAACUGUUGUCUCACUCGAUCUCUGUUUGAAUGCCCCACAGAUGCAUUGGAACGAUUAAACGAGUCUCAAAAUUUCUUCGACGCAGAUUGAUAAGAUUUACUAGCUGAUCUCUUUCUAGAAUCUCUUACUUCAAAAUCAGCUUUUCUCUUUUUUUUGCUGAGAUCUUCGGCUUUACAAGCCCUUUCAACUAAUACAACAAAUUCUUUGAUUUCCAGAAUCCCAACUAAUAACUUUAUAUCUUCGUUCAGUCCAUCAACAAAUCAUUUACACAUGAUCUCUUCAGUAGAAACAUAUUCCCGGGCAUAUUUGCUCAAACGCAUAAAUUCUCUUUCAUAUUAUGUCACUGUCAUCCGACCUUGUUUCAACUCUAAAAACUCUUUAUGUUUCUGAUUAAGAAACCUUUGACUUAUGUACUUUUUCCAAAACUCGGUCUGAAAGAAUUCCCAGGUAACCCGUUCUUUAGGAACUACUAAUUUCAACGUUUUCCACAAUCAUAUGCAUUAUCUCUAAGUAAAGAUACUACACACUUGAUACAUUCAUCUGAAGUAUAGGACAAUUCAUCAAAUACUCUAAUUGUGUUUUCGAGCCAGAACUGUAACAUCCUGAAAUAUGGCCUAGUCAGAAUAGCGGCUUUGAGACCACAAAUCUGAGACAGAAAUGACUAUUUUAUGACUUUUAUGAAUUCCAUGACGUGUAUGCAUGCUUAUGUGAAAGUUUCAUGAAGAAAUUCUAUGCAUAAAAUGUCUAAUUGAACUUUCGAGACCAAAUUGAAUAAGAUGCAAAACUUGUGUUCUAGAAGUUUUAGCAUGAAAUUGCUUUAGAUUAUAAAUUAUAAGAUCCUAAUUAGCAAUUUGACUAAUUUCUAAAAGUUUGGACAAAAAUGGACAUGUAUACAAAAAUUUUAAAAGAAAGGCCUUAAGGGCAUUUUGGUCAUUUGGUAAUUAAAAAAAUAAAAAGAGGAAAAUAAGUCAAAAUUUGUGUCCAUCUUCCUCCCCCAUUGCCAAAAAUCUCAAGAAGGCAUAACUAGGGUUUUGUUCAUCCUUUCAAGCUUAAUAGUAAGUAUUCCUAGCCCGUUUUUAAUGUUCUUUACAUCUUUUAAGUCCUCGUAACUUGAUUUACCUAUUUCCACCCUUAUUUUGAAGUAUGGUUUAUGUAUGAAAAUUUACCCAUGUGUGACAUGCAUGUAUUUUGAUGGUUUAUGGAGGAAUAUGAGAGUUUGGUGUGUGAUAAAUAUCUUUCACAAGAUGAUUUUUCAUGAAAACCACUAAAAAUGACUAAAUUGAAAAAAGUGUAAAAUAAGUGAUAAAAAUCUGAUUUUUAUGAAAAGUAUGGGUUGUUAUGAAUACAAGGGAAGUUCGGCUAAGCUUGAGUAACAAAGAAAAUGCAUACAUUUCAUUUUACGAGCCUAGGGACUAAACUAUAAAUAAGUGAAAAGUUAGGGUAAAAAGGUAAUUUUUCCAAAGCAUGAAUUAUGGGUUGAUUUGAACAAUGUGAUUAAUGAACAAGUUAAAUUUGGCAUUAUAGAUCAAGAAAAACGUGAUCCGGGUCUUGAUUGAGGGAAGAAUAAAGUUUUUAACGAAUAGGCUCGUUUAUCAUAAUUUUGUACCGAGGUAAGAACAUGUGUAAAUAAUGUGACAAUAUAGUAUGUUUUGAUGUAUUAAUAUUAUGUGAAAAAUAUUUUAUUAUUAUUAUGUAUGUUUUGCCUCAAGAUGGUGUUGUAAGUACGAAUGAUAUUAUGGUCAUUAUCCACGACAUCACGAGCAAGUGCAAUAGAGACGUUAUGUACACAUGAGAAAGAAUCUCGUUUGAACCUUAGGAAUAGUUUAGGAUACAAGUGACAUGUCACUAGGAAUUAAAAAAUUUGAACUCAUUGAGUUUGUAUGGGUUCGUGAUAUAUAUGUGGUACAUGAACUCAUUGAGUUGGUCUGAGUUCAUGAUGGAUGCGAUACAUGUAAUUAGGUUUUGGGCGCUGGUCUUGUGUGUGUUCUACCUGUGGCUAAGUAGUUCUGAGUGCGUCAGAUAUGUGACAGCUUGUGUGAGCAGCCCGUGUAGUUACACCCUGACCGAUAGCUUAUGUAAGCAAGCCCAUGAGUAGCUUUAUUGCGAGCGUUACAUGUUAUGAGGUAGCUUUGGCUACAUAUGUAUAUGUGGCACUUAUUUGCAAGUUUUUCGUGUAUCUAAUAGUAUUCCGAGUGUGAUAAACCGUAAUUUAUACAUGUUUCUAUCCCAUGCUUAACACAUUUUAUGGAUGAUUUUUCCUUAGAAUUGGUUAAUUUGAUGCUCCUAAUGCCUUAAUUUCAUGUUUUAUACUUAAGCAAGAAUAGGAGAGGAAAAUGAACAAGAAACGGGCCAAAAACAGAGAAAAUCGGCCAACUUACGAAAUCAACACGGCCUGGACUUCCUCACACAGGCAGACCACACAGCCGUGUCAAUUUGGUAGAAUCGAAGCAUGACUCACACGGUAGAACACACGCCCAUGCCAUUCUAACAUGCUCGAGCACGACUUGAAGUAAUCACACACGAGCAUGUCACACGGGCGUGUCCUUGUCGAGCCCAAGUUUAGUCCAAUUCGAAAAAGGCCAAUUUUGAGGGUUCUUAGGCAUUCCAAAGCCUAUAAAUACACUCUAGAGGAGGAGGAAAGGGGACACACAGAGAAGGAGGCAAGGAACUACUCAAGGAAAGCCGAUUGAUCCAUCUCAGAAGCCGGAUUCAUCAUCAAGACUGAAGAUCUCCCCUCAAUUUCCCUUCAGGAGUUUUGGGUUUUCUUUAUGUUUUGUAUUCAUUAUUCUUCUGAGAUGUUUUCCUUUUUAGUUAUGAACUAAAUCCCCUAAAUACCUAAGGGGAAUGAAACCUAAGACGAAUCUUGUUAUUAUUUUCUGAAUUGUAUGAUAAAUAUUUGACUUGUUCUUAAUUAUGUGUUCUUAAUUCUUGUUUUGAUAUUCCAUGAUAUUGAUUCAAGUUAAGCUCUUAUUCAGAGGAGGAAUAGACCCUGUCUAAGAGUACAUUUGUCAUAAUUAAGUGGAGUUGGUUGCGCGCCUAGAGAUAGGUUAACAAGAUUUUGUCGGAUUAGGGUGAAACCUAAUAAGGGGAUCCAUAGAUCAAGUUAAUGCAAUCCUAGGGAGUUAAUUAGAAAGAGAUUUCAAUUAUUCAACCUAGGGUUAGACGUUGUUAGUCUCGAGAGGGAUAAUAAUAUAACAUAGGAAUUUCUACAGAUAAAGUCAAAUGAAUAAAUCGUCCAAUUCAGAGUCAAAUAACAAGUGAAGUCUAGGUAGAUUUUUCCUUAGGUAUUGUCUUAAUUCAAUCGAUUUUCCAAAAGUAAUUCCCCAAUUCUAUUUUCUGUGAAUGCUUAGUUUAGUUAAUUAGUUAGUUAAAACAAACCCCAUUAUUCCUAGGCUAGAUAAUAAAAAGACAGUCAUUACUAGUACUUUUAGUUCCUUUGGGUUCGACAAUCCGGUCUUGCUAAAACUAUACUACUGUUCGAUAGGUACACUUGCCUGCAUUAUGAUAAUAGUUAGUUUCAAGAACGAUUAAUUAUAAAUUUAUAAAACUUAUCACACAAAAUCAUGAUCAAGUUUUUGGCGCCGUUUCUAGGGAACUAAGAUAUUAGGAACACUCAAUUUUUAUUACUUUAGCCAUUUAUUUUUACUAAAAUUUAAAUUUAUUUCUAAUUUUUAUUACUAAUUCUUCUUUUUCCCUUUUUCGUGGCAGGUUUUUAUAGUUUAUGACUAGAAGAAACCCGUCAGGGCCAUUGCUUUUUGAUAGUUAAAUCGAUCGUACUGUUCGUAGAGACCAAAGAGAAAUAAGGUGAAGCUUAAGAUACACAGAAAAUAAGCAAGAGGACGAUGUUCAAACCCCAACCGAGGAGAUGGCUGAAAACCAAGACAAUCAGCUACCUACUGCGAUACCCGCUGAACUAGCAAAUUAGAAUCCUGUUCCGUGCACUAUUUAUGAUUAUGCUAAACCUAAUUUAACAGGAACUGAGUCAAGUAUAUUUAGACCUGCUAUUGCUGUUAAUAAUUUUGAACUAAAACCUAACAUUAUUUAAAUGAUACAGCAAUUUGUUCAAUUUGAUGGUUUGAAGGAUGAGGAUCCAAACACUCACUUGGCAAAUUUCAUGGAAUUCUGUGAUACAUUUAAAAUUAAUUUAUGAUGAUGUCAUUCGUCUUCGAUUAUUCCCUUUUUCAUUAAGGAAUAAAGCUAAACAGUGGUUGAACUCGUUACCAUACCAAAAAAUUUUUAUUAAAAUAUUUUUCGCCAGCUAAAAUGGCUAAAUUAUGUAAUGAUAUCUUUUCAUUUGUGCAGAUGGACUUAGAAACUCUUUACGAUGCAUGGGAGAGAUACAAGGGCCUACUACGAAGGUGUCCUCACCAUGGAUUACCUCUAUGGUUGCAAGUUCAAACAUUCUACAAUGGUGUAAACCCCUCGACAAGACAGAUGCCUUGACAAGACAGAUGAUUGAUGCAGCAGCCGGGGGAACCAUCAAUAACAAAACACCUAAAGAGACUUACGAAUUUAUUGAAGAGAUGUCACUGAAUAACUAUUAGUGGUAAGUCAUGAGAACUAAGCAAACUAAAACAACUGGCGUUUAUAAUGUCGAUUCGGUUACUAUGCUAUCAAACCAGGUAGAACUUCUAAAUAAAAAGAUUGAUGGUUUACUUGGUUCCUCGCAUGUUCAUCCAGUAAUGCACUGUGAAAUCAAUAGAGGUGGAUCAAGCAAUUCAGAAUAUCAAUCCUAUGGCCACAGCAUGGAGAACGAACAAUUAAAUUACAUGGGUAAUAAUCCUCGAUCUCAAAACAAUCCAUAUAGUAACACUUACAAUGCAGGUUGGAGGAACCAUCCCAAUUUCUCCUGGGGUGGUCAAAGAAAUCAAAGGCCACAACAUCCUCCGGGUUUCCAACAACCACCUUACCAGCAAGAAAAGAAGUCGAACCUUGAGGAGAUGCUAACCAAAUUCAUCUCGGUGUCAGAAACCCAUUUUCAAAAUACUGAGAUAGCACUUAAGAAUCAACAAGCAUCGAUCCAAGGGAUUGAAACUCAGAUUGGGUAGCUUGCCAAGUUGAUUUCUGAACGACCAUAAGGUAGCUUGCCAAGCAACACAGAAUCUAACCCAAGGGAGCAACUCACCUUGAUUACUAGUCAAGAUGAGGAAGGGUUAGUCACAAUUGAACCAGAACCAAGGCAAGAAACUGAGAUAAGCAAAUGUAAAGGUGAGGUAGACCACAAUGAGCAGAAAUCGGUAAGUACAGAUUAUAAACCUCGUGUGCCAUACCCCAACACGACAAGGAAAGACCGCUUAGAUGAACAAUUUGGUAAAUUCCUUAAACUCUUAAAAAAAUUACAUAAUAACUUUUCGUUUAUUGAAGCUCUAUCACAGAUGCCAAACGUAAUAAAAUUUUUAAAGGAGCUUUUAGAAAAUAAGCGAAAGUUGGAUGAGGCGUCGCAUGUCGAGCUAAACGUAGUUUGCUCAGCUAUUCUACAGAAUAAGCUACCCAACAAGUUAAAAGAUCUAGAGAUUUUUACAGUUCCUUGCUUAAUUGGUAGUUUAGAUGUUAAUAAUGCAUUAGCUAAUUUAGGGGCUAGUAUUAACGUCAUGCCCUACAAAAUGUUCAAACAAUUAGGUAUUGGGAAACCCAAACAGACUAGGAUGAGCAUUCAAUUAGCAAAUAAAACUAUAAGAUUUCUUAGGGGUAUUAUUGAAGAUGUGCUAGUUAAAAUCGAUAAAUUUAUAUUUCCCGUUGACUUCAUUGUUCUAGACAUAGAGGAUGAUAACAACACUCUUUUGAUUUUAGGAAGGCCCUUUUUAGUAACUUCUAGAAUGAUUAUUGAUGUUGGCACAGGUAACCUCACACUUCGUAUGGGAGAUGAAACAAUCACCCUUCAAGCUCGCAAUUUUGGCAACACAUCGAAAAUUGAAGGUGAUUGUCUAAACUAUUCUACUAAAACUGACAAUAUGGUGCAACCUACUUUGCAGGAAAUGAGUUUGAAGGAAGUACAUAAACCAUUUUCAAGCAAUAAUAGAGGACCCAUUCAUGAAGAACGAAGGCUACAAAUCGAGGAGCUAGAUGAAUGGCAGACACAUAAACCGAAAAAACAUGAUAAACCAAAACUACACUAGGAUGAGCUCAGUACCUUUCCAAAUCAACCCAAGGUUGAAGAUAAAGUUUUAUUAGAUACCGCAGAUCCUUACAUUGUCACUACCAAACCGAAUGAAGAAAUUCCUCUUACGGUGCUUAGCAUUUUUCCAUUCGGUACAUCGAGGUAAGUCAUCCCAAGUUUGGCACUUUUAAGGUAAACAAUACCCGCCUAAAACCUUAUUUUGAUGAGAUCCACAAUAGGAAUGAGAAGUAUAAACUCUUCGAACCACCAUGACUAUUCAAUGAAAAGGUAAGUCUAGCUUAUACUAUAAUAAGCACUUCUCGGGAGGCAACUCGAGCACUAACUGUAUUAACUUCUUUAAAUUUUAGUGUUUAACCACCUAACUUACUAACGGAGCUCCUGAAUACAGGUUUCCCACAUAGACACGGCCUACCACCCGGGCGUGCCUUAGGCCGUGUGAAAACAGGGUAAAAAUUUCCCCAACACGGGCUACGAUAAAUCACCACAACCGUGCGACAUGGCCGUGGGCGAACCUAUUAAAUUAACACGGGCAUGGGCCUACAUACAUGGGUGUGGGAGAAGCAAACAAAGACAAACACAGCCGUGCGACACGGUCGUGUGCACCCACACGCCCAAGCAACACGGGCGUAGGCCAAUUGUCAGAUGUGCCCAAAUUUAAAAUUCACGAAUCACAUGGGCAAAAAUUAGGGAACACGGGCGUGUUCCCUGGCCGUGUGUCCCAAAAUCUAUAAAUACCCUGCACUAUUCAUUGUCUUCUUCACUCAAAAUCCCCAACCCUAGCCGCUGCAAGUCCACACAGCCUCCCUACCACGCCCAUGCGCCGCUUCCCACUCCAUUUUUUGACUCCCAAUCUCUUUCCCUUAGCGUUUGUUUACUCUUUUCACUUCUAUUUUACUUAUUUCUAAUGCUUAUUAUCAAAAUAAUCUUCAUUCUAUUCAUAAUAUUUUCAUUUUGUGCAUUAUUCUAUCAUUUAAUUUGCAUUCUUAGGUUAUUUAUCAUAACAUUUCAUGUUGAACCGAGUUGUUAGAAAAGCCUCAUUCUAUUGUCAUACCCAUGCCAUUACUAUGCUCAUUCUCAUGCUAUUACCAUGCUAAUGUCACGAAAUUAUGUUAUCAAAUUGAUUAUUUCGGUUGGGUUUGGUUAGUAUUAGUAGUUUUGGCUGAAAUUGUUAGUUCAAAUUCAUGGCUUUUUCCUUUUCAAAUUCGUUUACCUACUAUUUUUUUUAUAUUGUAGGUAUACAAUGUCAUCUUUAUGUGGUAAAAAGGCUGCUGUCCCUGCUUAAAAAGAAAAGUAAGGGAGUGUCAUCUUCCUCGAGUCCUACCGCAAAAAUUCGUCACCCUUUCUGUAAUUCCCCAUAGGGCCCCAAGAAGACCUUUUCCAAAUAUUUCAGGCCCGACCUUUAAUUGCGGACCGCUGCAUCAAUUGGGCUGCAGUUGAACAAGUUCAGUUGGCUGAUGCAAUUCGGGCCCUCCUAACCACUACCUCUUGGGAGCUUUUUUUUAGGAUCGUCGAGCCAACAUAUCUUGAGCUCACGAUGGAACUAUGUUCAACGUUUCAUCUUCAGACCGUAAUGACAAACUACAAUGAUCUCGGCACGGUCCAAUUUCGCCUAAGCGGAUUAGUCCGCUAGCUAAGCGUCAUAGAAUUCAGUACUACACUGGGCUUAUAUAUGGAGGAGUUCAAGGAGGAGAAUGACUAACAUGCUCUCAACCGCCACAUCCAUCGUUCUUCUUCGAAGUGUUGGGACGCCCUCGCCCCCGACGCUGCCUCCUACAAUCCUAGCCGCUCCAAGGCAUCAGCUCUCCCUUCCUCUCUGAGGUACUUACACGCUAUUUUGGCUCACACGUUAACCAGAAGGAGAGAGAGGACUGGCAUCAUCAACACUCACGAUGCCUACUUUCUAUGGUGUAUGUCGUACGACCACAUCAUAGACCUUGCUGUUUUCAUUGCUCUCGCCAUUCAACAUUAGACGGAGUGACAUAGGAAGGGGGCCAUCUCCAUUGGCCCUUAUGUAACUCAGUUGCCUCGACACUUCGGGCUCCUCAACACCGCAGCCCAAGAAUUUUCCUUGACCCUCAUUGGCCAGAUGUCUUCACAAGGCAUCUUGAGCAUGCUAAGCAUGAGGAUGAUCGAAAAGCGCCGAGGAACCUACCCCCUCAAUAUCGUUUUGCCCAAUCUACCGAGAAGGAGGCCUCCGAGGACAUUAUUGAUGAUGUCCCUCCAUGUCACGAGGACCCACCGUCUCAGCCACCACCACACUGUCAUCCAGUUCAUGCGGCGGCUUCAUACGCUGACAUCUCUGAGCGCCUAACUCGAUUCGAGCAGAAAUGUUUUCAACGCUUCGAUCACAUUGAUGCUACACUACACUAGAUUUGUCAGCACUUCCACAUCUCAUCUUCACCCCCACCUUGUAAACCAUUUAGCGAUGAAGAUGUCUAAAAACUUUUAUUUAUUAAUUUAUGUUUUUACUUUUCUUUUAUUUUAAGACUACUUUUUAUUUUUCUUUCACAUUAUUUUUAUUAGGACUUAUAAUUAUUAUUUUACAAUUUUUGAUUUUGGCUAAUUCAUAUUGAGUACUUACCCUUCCUUAUAUAUUUCCUAAAAGAGUUCCUGAUUCUAUCACAGUUAUAAAGAGCUCCAAAGCUCACUAUUACUCAAGGACUCAAAACUCCACUGGGAAAGGUUCUCCACGACUGCCAUGUCCUGCUCGACCACGACCAUAACCAACUUCAGAUAUAAUAUACUUUUGGUGCAGGACUUAUGGACUAAUGAACCUCUACCACCGCAGGAGUAUCCUCCUUCACCCUCACGCCGGUUAUUCUCCAAAAUUCCAGUUCAAGGAAAUUCAUUCAUCACUAAGGAAGUUUCACUUCUCUCCCUAUCUUAUUUUUAUUUCUAUAUAUCUAUCUUUGUACAUUGAAGGCAAUGUACAUCUUAAGUGUGGGGGGUAUUCAUUUCACUAUCAGAAAAAUCCAUGAAUGAUUGCAUUAUUCUCUUGAAAAGCUCUCAUAUCAUGUUUAGGAUAAAUUUUGAUUGAUUUAUGAUUUUAAUUGAUAUAUCUUAAAUUAAAACAUAGGCAUUCAUGCUUUGAUUAUUUAAACUUUAAACAUUAGAGAAUUAAGCAUGAUAAGUUGAUUUUUAAGAAUUGAAAAUUUUAAGUUGUUUCCCCAAGUUUAGGUAUUAUCUUGAAUUGAAACCCACAAGUUUAAACAUCAAAAAGCAAUGAUUUUUGUGAGAUCUUGAGCCUUUAGAGCAUCUAUUAUUUCUUUUAUGCUCGCUUUCAUUAUGAGUCCGUCAGUAUUGAAUUGUUAUUCUAGAACUUACUUGAUUAUGCAUGUCAAGACCACACCAUUUGAUUUGAUAUGUCAAAAUAAGAAAGGCACUUAGGUGUAACCCACUCACUCCACAAAACCCUACCUUCACAAUUAACCCUUAGUGAAACCCCUUAAGCCUAACAACCCAUUCAUUGAUUUAUCCUCAAUAUUAACCCAUAACUCAUUAUUGUUGAAAUCCCCUAAAUUAAUUUGAUCCCUAUUUUUGUCGAGAUUUGAGUUGGAGUAAUUGCUUCGCUAUGUUUUAUUCUUCUUUUUUUGUAAUUUGACUUGUUCUUAAAAAAAAUGUAUACAUAUUAGUAGUAGUGAUCUUCUGAGCUAAAGAAGUUAAAUUCCAUAUUUUGAGAAAAAAAAAAGCCUAUUGUACGUAAUUGUUGACUAGUCAUUUUUCUAGUUAGGCAAUUUUUCAAUUCAAUCUCGAUUCUAACCCUUUCUUUCAGCUUGAGACCACACCCCCUAAACAAGCCUCAUUACAACUCUCGAAAGACCUUUUGAUUGAUGUUUCAUCUCAAUUUAUAGUGGUGGAGAUUUGAUUUUCAUGCAAGCCUAUGGUAAUGACUUUUCAUUAUUGACUAUUGAGUGCUUCAUUUAUUGUCCUUAAACAUCUUGAGUGAUUUUAGUGAAUCUUCAGUGAGGAUGUGAAACUUUGUGACAUUUUGAAUCAAAGGUAAUUACUUAGACGAGGGGAGACACUUAUGUUUUCAUGAUAAAAUACUCAACUUGGAAUGUUUGAAACUUUGAUGUUCUUUCAGUUGAAUUUUCAAUAUAUGAUUGCCUAUGGAUUAUUUUGAGAUAUUAUCAAUAGAAAUUAUAAGUUGAGGAUUUUGCUUGAAGACAAGAAAAUGCUUAAGUGUGGGGGUAUUUGAUAAACCAUAAUUUAUACAUAUUUCUAUCCCAUGCUUAACACAUUUUAUGGAUGAUUUUUCCUUAGAAUUUGUGAAUUCAAUGCUCCUAAUGCCUUAAUUUCAUGUUUUAUACUUUGGCGGGCAUAGGAGAGCAAACUUACGAAAAACGGGCCAAAAAUGGAGAAAAUGGGCCAACUUACGAAAUUAAAAUGGUCCAGACUUUCUCACACGGGCAGACCACAUGGCCGUGUCAAUUUGGAAAAAUCGAAGCAUAACUCACACGGGUAGAAUACACGCUCGUGCCAUUCUAACAGGCUCGAGCACGGGUUGAAGUAAUCGCACACGGGUGUGUCCCUACCGAGCCCAAGUUUAGUCCAAUUCAGAAAAGGCCAAUUUUGAGGGUUCUUAGGCAUUCCAAAGCCUAUAAAUACACCCUAGAGGAGGAGAAAAGGGGACACAUAGAGAAUAAGGCAGGGAACUACUCAAGGAAAGCGGAUUGAUCUAUCUUAGAAGCCAGAUUCAUCAUCAAGAUUGAAGAUCUCCCCUCAAUUUCCCUUCAGUAGUUUUGGGUUUUCUUUAUGUUUUGUAUUCAUUAUUCUUCUGAGAUGUUUUCCUUUUUAGUUAUGAACUAAAUCCCCUAAAUACCAAAGGGGAAUGAAACCUAAGACGAAUCUUGUUAUUAUUUUUUGAAUUGUAUGAUAAAUAUUUGACUUGUUCUUAAUUAUGUGUUCUUAAUUCUUGUUUUGAUAUUCCAGGAUAUUGAUUCAAGUUAAGCUCUUAUUCAGAGGAGGAAUAGACCCUGUCUAAGAGUACAUUUGUUUUAAUUAAGCGGAGUUGGUUGCGCGCCUAGAGAUAGGGUGACAGGAUUUUGCCAGAUUAGGGUGAAAGCUAAUAAAGGGAUCCAUAGAUCGAGUUAAUGCAAUCUUAGGGAGUUAAUUAGAAAGAUAUUUCAAUUAUUCAACCUAAGGUUAGGCAUUGUUAGUCUCGAGAGGGAUAAUAAUAUAACUUAGGGAUUUGUACAGAUCAAGUCAAAUGAAUAAAUCGUCUAAUUCAGAGUCAAAUAACAAGUGAAGUCUGGGUGGAUUUUUCCUUAGGUAUUGUCUUAAUUCAAUCGUUUUUCCAAAAGUAAUUCCCCAAUUCUAUUUUCUGUAAAUUCUUAGUUUAGUUAAUUAGUUAGUUAAAACAAACCCCAUUAUUCUUAGGCUAGAUAAUAAAAAGACAGCCAUUACUAGUACUUUUAGUUCCUUUGGGUUCGACAAUCUGGUAUUGCUAAAACUAUACUAUUGUUCGAUAGGUACACUUGUCUGCAUCGUGAUAAUAGUUAGUUUCAAGAACGAUUAAUUAUAAAUCUAUAAAACUUAUCACACAAAAUCACGAUCAGAGUGCUCAACGGCUAAUGCAAUGGAUGAGGUGAUGAAAGUCCCAAUGAGGGCAUGUUAAAGACUGUAUGAUUAUAUGAUAUACUAUGGGUAAGUACAGGUAUAUAUGCUAAACUCAUGAGCAAUGCCUUGAUAAAGGAUGAAUUGUGAUGAGAAAAUAUAUAUAUGAACACUUGAUAAAUAAAGUCAAAAUGCUUGAAUGAUGAAUGAUCUUUAUGAUUAUGUUAUUAUGUCUUUGUGUGAUAAUUGCUUACUAUCAUUGCAUAUUAUUUGCAUGUGGACUUACUAAGCUUUAAUGCUUAUGCCCUUUCUUUUCCAUCCUUUGUAAUACCACCAAGCUAGCUUAGGGAUCAGAAGCUGUCGGAGUAUUUGAUAACACUAUCAAAAGAAUAUUGGGUAUAGUGAAUUUGAUAACUUGAGUAUGGCAUGUGUCAUAUUGGAAGAAACUCCAUGAACCACUCGAUCAUCAUUUGGAAGAAGGCUUGCUUAGCCUCUCCACUUUGGCUAUUAGAUAUGAGUCUAGAAUCAGAUUGCGCUGCCCCUUGAGCGGGAGCAAGUGCAUUACUUUCAACAUCGUCAGCGAUGGCUUGUUCGGGACCCAUUUGCUAUAUAAAAACACAUUUUAACUGUCAGGAAUCAUCACACUAUCGCAGUUUAUAUAUAUGACAUGUAUAGUCUAGAAUCAUCAUACAUUUUAACUGAUACCAAUUAAAUGUAACACCCCUAAAUCGUAUCCGUCACCGAAUUAGGGUUAUGAGGCAUUAUAAAAAAAUACACAUCAUUUACAAACAUUUAAGCAUUCGUAAUCAAAAUUCAUUCAAAUCAUUCACAUUGUCCCUUAUCAAGCUCUACGAGUCCUUAAAACAUGCUUAGAAGUGGUUCAGGACUAAACGAUAACAUUUGCAAACUUUAGGAGACUUAGAAUAUUUUCAAACAUAUAAGGGUGAUACGUGAUAUUCGCGACAGGUUUUAAAUAUUUAUAACUAAUCAUUCUUGAAAUUAACUAUUAUCACGAUGAAGGCAAGUGUACCUAUCGAACAGUAGUAUAGCUUUAGCAAGACUGGAUUGUCAAACCCAAAGGAACCAAGAGUACUAGUAAUUACUUUCUUUUUAUUAUCUAGCCUAAAAAUUAAGGGAUUUAUUUAUCUGAAUUAAUUAACUAAACUAAGAGUGCACAGAGAGAAAUUGGGGAAAAGCUUUUGGGAAAAUUCGAUUGAUUAAGACAAUACCCAAGGAAAAAUCUACCUAGACUUCACUUGUUAUUUGACUCUGAACCAGACAAUUUAUUCAUUUGACUUGAUCCGUAGAAAUCCCUAAGUUAUAUUAUUAUCUCUCUCGAGACUAAUAACGUCUAACCCUAGGUUGAUUAAUUGAAAUCUCUUUCUAAUUAACACCAAGUGUUGCAGUAACUCGAUCUAUGGAUCCCCUUAUUAGGUUUCACCCUAAUCCAGUAAAAUCUUAUCACCCUAUCUCUAGGCAUGCAAUCAACUCCGCUUAAUUUAUGACAAAUUUACCCUUAGACAGGGUCUAUUCCUCCUUUGAAUAAGAGUAUUAACUCGAAUCAAUAUCCUGGAAUAUUAAAAUAAGAAUUAAGAACACAUAAUUAAAAACAAGUCAAAUAUUUAUCAUACAAUUCAUAUAAUAAUAACAAGAUCUGUAUUAGGUUUCAUUCCCCUUAGGUAUUUAACGGGUUUAGUUCAUAAUUAUAGAAGAAAACAUCUCAGAAGAAUAAUGAAUACAAAACAUGAAGUUGAUACCUCAAACGUCAAAUAUUUCACAUGAGAGCAUAUAUGUCUGAGGCAUUUCAUCACGUUUGGAUAUAUUACAUGUCUUUUGACAUUUGUCACAAGAAGUAACAUACCUGUUGGCAUCUUUGAAUAGAGUGGGCCAAUAAAAACCUGAUUUGAAGACUUUAUGUACGGUCUUAUUUCCACAGUAAUGUCCUCCAGUCGAUCCUCAGUGGCAAUGUUCCAAGAUUUUCAAUGCUUCUGUCCUUGUAACGCAUCUCCUAAUGAUUUGAUCUGCACAUUUAUAGAAAAGAAAAGGGUCUUCCUAGAAGUAGUUUUUCACAUCAGUGAAGAAUCGCUUCUUUUGCUAAUGUGUCAACCUUUUUAGGAUAAUGUUAGCGGCUAAAAAAUUUGCAAUAUCUGCAAACCAAGGUACCUCAGAAUCAGAUAUAGCAAAAAAAUGUUCUUUAAGGAAUGAAUCAUUUAUUUCAAUGUCAUCUGGCUCUUUGGUACUUGAGUUUUCAAGCCUGAAGAGAUGGUCAGCCGCAAGAUUUUUAGCUCAUUUCUUGCCCUUAAUCUCCAAGUCAAAUUCCUGCAAUAAUAAGAUCCAUCGAAUGAGUCAAGGUUUUGCAUCAGUUUUAGUCAAAAGAUGGCGAAGAGCGGAAUGGUCAGUAUAAACGACAACUUUAGACAAUAUUAAAUAUGGCCUAAAUUUAUUGAAUGCAAAAACCACAGCUAGCAGCUCUUUCUCCGUGAUGGUGAAAUUUUCUUCGUGGCUGUCAAAGUUCUGCUAGCAUAAUAGAUAGGUUGAAAAUGUUUAUCUCUUCGCUGUCCCAAAACUGCACCUACUGCAAAAUCACUCGCAUCUCACAUUAGUUCAAAAGGUUAAUUCCAAUCAAGUGCAAUUAAAAUUGGAGCUUUAGUCAGUUUAUCCUUUAAAGUAUUAAAUGCUUCUAAACACUCUUGAUCAAAAUUAAAAGGCACAUCUUUUUCUAGUAAUUUAGUCAAAGGCUUAGCUAUUUUAAAAAAGUCUUUAAUAAAUCUUCUAUAAAACUCAUCAUGUCCAAAGAAGCUUCUAAUAGCCUUAACCAAAUUAGGGGGAGGUAGUUUUUCAGUUGUUUCAAUUUUAGAUUUAUCAACCUUAAUCCCUCUACUAGAAAUUUUAUGUCUUAACACAAUACCUUCUUGAACCAUAAAGUGACAUUUCUCCCAAUUAAGCACAAGGUUUGUUUCCUCACAUCUUAUUAACACUCGUUUUAAAAUUUUGAGGCAAAGAUGGAAAGAGUUACCGAAAAUUGAGAAAUCAUCCAUAAAUACCUCCAUCACGUCUUCUACGAGUUCGUCAAAAAUGGCCAUCAUGCAGCGCUGAAAAGUAGUAGAAGCAUUACAUAAUCUAAAAGGCAUUCUACGAUAAGAAAACGUACUGUAUGGACAUGUAAAUGUCAUCUUUUCUUGAUCUUCAGGAGCUAUUGGGAUUUGGAAGUAGCCAGAGAGUCCGUUUAAAAAGCAGUAGUACAUGUGUCCUGACAUUGUUUCCAACAUUUGGUCAAUGAAUGGAAGGGGAAAGUGGUCUUUUCUCGUGGCAUCAUUUAGCUUCCUAUAAUCAAUGCACACUCUCCAACCUAUGAUUGCCCUUGUUGGGAUUAAUUCAUUCUUCUCAUUGGCUACAACAGUCAUGCCUCCUUUCUUAGGGACAACUUGCACUAGACUCACCCAAGAACUAUCAAAAAUAGGACAAAUAAUUCCAGCAUCUAGGAGUUUAAUUACCUCAGCUUUAACAACUUCCUUCAUGUUGAGUGUAACACCCCAAACCCGGCCUGGAAGUUUGGCUCGAAUCUGGCGUGUCACAUUGAAGUGUUUUUCAAAAACCAUGUUUUCAUUAAAAACCCUUCUUAAUAAUUAAAAACUUAUACCCUUUUUUAACCUUGUUAGAAAACCUCGGCUAAAUAACAUUCUUAACAACUUUGUAAAAAUCUUGGUAGUUACGAAAGCUUAAUUUAAAAACAAUUGCGGAUACGUGAUGUUUUGAACAACAGUAGUUACUUUGGAAAACCGUGUUUUAAUACUAGCAAUUAUAAGAACAAUAAAUAAAAUUCCAAAUUUGAAAUCCAGAAAAUUACAACGGCUGUACUACAACCCACAUAAAACAUUUAAAAGUAAUAAUCAAAACAAUAAAAUAAAUAGUGUGUGUGGCUUCCUCCGAGCCCCUCGUAGCUUCGAUCCGUCUAAGGCUGGAAAUUACCUAAAAGGUUAAUAAACGGGGUGAGUUUACGAAAACUCAGUGUAAAAUCCCCUACUAAAAAGGAACAGUCAGUCGUAUAAAAGAAUUAAAAGUCUGGCCCCAGCCUUACUUACAGUUUCAGUAUCAAUUGGGCCUUAGCCCACUAUAACAGACAGUACUAGAUGGGCCUGAGCCCAUUACAGAAUAAGAAACAUUAUCAGAACUAGAAUCACAACGAGAAUCAGAAUCAGAAUUAGGUGACAGAAUCAGAAUCAGAAUUAGGUGACAAAAUUAGAAUCAAAAUCAGUAUCAGGUAACAGAAUCAAAAUCAGAAUGUGAAUGCAAUCCCAACCCAAUCCAGCCGUAUACACCCUCGUACCAACCUUACACCAUAUGGGGAGACUACUCGACCCACCCAACCGCUACACACCACAGAAAUUGCAGCGAGGCUGCCAGAUAUUGUGACAAAGUCACCAAAUACAGAUAUUGUGGCUAGGCCACCAGAACAGAUAUAUAUAUAUGUGACGAAGCCACCAGAUUGCAGCGAGGCUGCCAGAUAUUGUGACGAAGUCACCAGAACAGAUAUAUGUGACGAGGCCACCAGAUUGCAGCGAGGCUGCCAGAACGCUUCCUUCAUCAAUAUAAACCCAUGUCCCAUGCAAUAGAAAUAAUACGUCAUGGCAUACGUAUACAGAAACAGAACAUCAUGAUUUUCAGAAAAAAUAUAACCCUAAGGGUAAAAUCGUAAUUUUGCAUGCAUAAGGGUAUUUUAGUAAUUAUUACUUUUUGCUAAGGUUUCAUGCUCAUUCUAACGUUUACCAAGUAAUCAGAAGUACUUACCUCGUCUUUUUACCAAAGUGGGCCCGUUGGUCUAUUGGCCCGUUUUCGACCCAUUAAGCCCAAAAAUAUCGUGCACGAAAAUGCACACUCUGCACUCUAAUCAUCCAAAUGCACCAUAUUCAUUAACAACUGUCUCACGAGCGCUCGCACGCUCGUGAGUUUACAAAAUACCAACGUUUCGGUAUUUCAGUUUUUACCGAUUCAGUCUAAGGGAGGGUGUCGUUUACACACCUGGUUGAUGACGAUUGAUGACGAUAUCUCCCACGCGAUAAUCCUACAAUCGAUCACUAACACAUUAGACUUAUGAAUUAACGAUAACUAACAUAAAUCCACGUCAACUAACCCAAUCAUCACACAAGUUAGUCAUUCUCGCACGAUGGGCAAAAUGGUAAUUUUACCCCACGAGGGUAUCUCGGUAAUUCUACCCUAUAGGGGUAUUUCAGUAAUUUUACAAAUCAGGGGUAUUUUGGUAAUUUUACAAACCAGGGAUAUUUUGGUAAUUUUGCUAAUUGAGGGUAUUUUGGUAAUUUUACAAACCAGGGGUAUUUUGGUAAUGUGGUAAACUAAAGUAUUCUAAACAGGGAUAACAAUACGAAUGGACCUAAAGCCCAUUCUCGGCCCAAAUGGGCUCACAUACUCGUGUAGCCCUUUUAGCCCAAAUCUAGCCACAAAUAUGAGAUUCACCUAGGCUAGUCCAAUAUUUACUACACAAUUAAACAACUUAUCCAAUUGGGCCCGUAGGCCCAUUGGGCACACAUGGCCCCUUUUGGCCCAUCGCGGCCCGAAGUAGCCAUCCUAUAGCUAGAGUAGUGAGAAAAUACACACCUGUUAGGAGACUGCAGUUAAUCCGCGCUCCAAGCACUCUUAGCUGACGCCCAACCCAAACGAGCACGUCACAAAGCGAAAGGGAUCAGCCAAGAAGGGUAUGCCUACUCUCCUCAUGGUUCUCUCUAUUUAAAGCCAGCUUCGUAUCUACUCUUAUGUUAGCUUCCCAAUGUGGGAUCCCUCCAUCACCAGAGUUUAAAACCAACACCAACUCUUGUCGUCCCAACGUAGCAAAAUAAUCAACCUUUGUGUGCCAAGGGAUUCGAACCAAAGUCCUCUCACAUGCCAACUCACACCACCACCACUAGGCCAUCAACUCAUUUGUGUCAUAAAUCCAACACAUUAAACUUUAAAGUGCACCUACUUGCUUCCAGAUUUAUUGAAAAGAAAAACCAAAAUAUAUUGCAAGAGCCAAGACUUGAAACUUGGACCCCUUGCUUCAUCUAUGGCGUCACUUCCUUGUCCCCUAAGUGGCGCCACCUUGCCACUACACUACACUCAUUUUUGUGUCAUCUUUUCCUCCAACAAUAUUCUUAAGGCCUACCUACUACACCCAGGGUUUGAUUCACCUUAAACCAAAAUUUUAGCUAGAGUCCAGAUUGAACCCAGGACUUCUCCAACACUUCUCAACACACUUAACCAUUAAAACAAGCCUUCAUUAACGAAAUUUACAUGCACAACAAAAUAUUAUAAGCUGCCUUCAACCGCUCUCAUGCUCAAGGCCCAAAACUUCUAGGCCCAAAUUUAGGGUGCUACAACUCUACCUCCCUUAAAGAAAUUUCGUCCCCGAAAUUUCCAUCUAACAGGGUGGUCGUGUAACAUCUCCCCCACUACGCUACCGCUGCGCACUCUGAUCCUACUAUCACUAUCACACAUCAACUAGAACUUGAAACAUCUCAUACAUACAACACUUAUUCACUGAAGCAGACACAUAUUUAUCAAACAUAUAUACAAUUUCUAUAUCCAAACAUCACAUCCAAAUAAAAUAAAUACCAAAUUUAAAUUCAGACCAAUAUAUAAAGAAUCCACAGUAUUUCAAUUUCUAAACAGACAAAAGUAUUCAGAAGACUUACGAAUUCGGCGCCGGAGACUCGGUGUGCCACACUUUUUAAAAGAAAUACUUCAAACUGAGCCGAGUUGUUGCGACCUAGGCUCUGAUACCACUAAAUGUAACACCCCAAACCCGGCCUGGAAGUUUGGCUCGAAUCUGGCGUGUCACAUUGAAGUGUUUUUCAAAAACCAUGUUUCCAUUAAAAACCCUUCUUAAUAAUUAAAAACUUAUACCCUUUUUAAACCUUGUUAGAAAACCUCAGCUAAAUAACAUUCUUAACAACUUUGUAAAAAUCUUGGUAGUUGUGAAAGCUUAAUUUAAAAGCAAUUGCAGAUACGUGAUGUUUUGAACAACAGUAGUUACUUUGGAAAAUCGUGUUUUAAUACUAGUAAUUAUAAGAACAAUAAAUAAAAUUCCAAAUUUGAAAUCCAAAAAAUUACAACGGCUUUACUACAACCCACAUAAAACAUUUAAAAGUAAUAAUCAAAACUAUAAAAUAAACAGUGUGUGUGGCUUCCUCCGAGCCCCUCGGAGCUCCGAUCCGUCUAAGGCUGGAAAUUACCUGAAAGGUUAAUAAACGGGGUGAGUUUACAAAACUCAGUGUGAAAUCCCCUACUAAAAAGGAACAGUCAGUCAUAUAAAAGAAUUAAAAGUCUGGCCCCAGCCUUACUUACAGUUUUAGUAUCAAUUGGGCCUUAGCCCAUUAUAACAGACAGUACCAGAUGGGCCUUAGCCCAUAACAGAAUAAGAAACAUUAUCAGAACUAGAAUCAAAAUAAGAAUCAGAAUCAGAAUUAGGUGACAGAAUCAGAAUCAGAAUUAGUUGACAGAAUUGGAAUUAGAAUCAGUAUCAGGUAACAGAAUCAAAAUCAGAAUAUGAAUGCAAUCCCAACCCAAUCCAUCCGUAUACACCCCCGUACCAACCUUACACCAUGUGGGGAGGCUACUCGACCCACCCAACCACUACACACCAUAAAAAUUGCAGCGAGGCUACCAGAUAUUGUAACGAAGUCAUCAGAUACAGAUAUUGUGGCUAGGCCACUAGAAUAGAUAUAUAUAUGUGGCGAAGCCACAAAAUUGCAGCGAGGCUGCUAGAUAUUGUGACGAAGUCACCAGAACAUAUAUAUAUAUAUAGCGAGGCCACCAGAUUGCAGUGAGGCUGCCAGAACGCUUCCUCCAUCAAUAUAAACCCAUGUCCUGUGCAACAGAUAUAAUAUGUCAUGGCAUACGUAUACAGAAACAGAACAUCAUGCUUUUCAGAAAAAAAUAUAACCCUAAGAGUAAAAUCGUAAUUCUGCAUGCAUAAGGGUAUUUCAGUAAUUAUUACCUAUUGCUAAGGUUUCAUGCUCAUUCUAACGUUUACCAAGUAAUUAGAAGUACUUACCUUGUCUUUUUAACAAAGUGGGCCCGUUGGCCCAUUGGCCCGUUUUCGGCCCAUUAAGCCCAAAAAUACCGUUGUGCACGAAAAUGCACACUCUGCACUCUAAUCAUCCAAAUGCACCAUAUUCAUUAACAACUGUCUCAUGAGCGCUCGUACGCUCGCGAGUUCACAAAAUACCAACGUUUUGAUAUUUCAGCUUUUACCGGUUCAGUCUAAGGGAGGGUGUAGUUUACACACCUGGUUGGUAACAAUUGAUGAUGAUAUCUCCCGCACGAUAAUCCUACAAUCGAUCACUAACACAUUAGACUUACGAAUUAACGAUAACUAACGUAAAUCCACGUCAACUAACCCAAUCAUCACACAAGUUAAUCAUUCUCGCACGAGAGGCAAAAUGGUAAUUUUACCCCACGAGGGUAUCUCAGUAAUUCUACCCUACAAGGGUAUUUCAGUAAUUUUACAAAUCAGGGGUAUUUUGGUAAUUUUUUUAAUCGAGGGUAUUUUGGUAAUUUUACAAACCAGGUGCAUUUUGGUAAUUUCGUAAACUAAAGUAUUCUAAAUAGGGAUAACAAUACUAAUGGACCUAAAGCCCAUUCUCGGCCCAAAUGGGCCUACACGCUCGUGUGGCCCUUUUAGCCCAAAUCUAGCCACAGAUAUGAGAUUCUCCUAGCCUAGUUCGAUAUUUACUACACAAUCAAACAACUUAUCCAAUUGGGCCCGUAGGCCCAUUGCGGCCCGAAGUAACCAUCCUACAGCUAGAGUAGUGAGAAAAUACACACCUGUUAGGAGACUGCAGUUAAUCCGCGCUCCAAGCACUCUUAGUUGAUGCCCAACCCAAACGAGCACGUCAUAAAUCGAAAAGGAUCAGCCAAGAAGGGUAUGCCUAAUCUCCUCAUGGUUCUCUCUAUUUAAAGCCAGCUUCGCAUCCACUCUUAUUUUAGCUUCCCGAUGUGGGAUCCCUCCAUCACCAGAGUUUAAAACCAACACCAACUCUUGUCGUCCCAACAUAGCAAAAUAAUCAACCUUUGCGUGCCAAGGGAUUCGAACCAAAGUCCUCUCACAUGCCAACUCACGCCACCACCACUAGGCCAUCAACUCAUUUGUGUCAUAAAUCCAACACAUUAAACUUUAAAGCGCACCUACUUGCUUCCAAAUUUAUUGAAAAGAAAAACCAAAAUAUAUUGCAAGAGCCAAGACUUGAACCUUGGACCCCUUACUUCCUCUAUGGCAUCACUUCCUUGUCCCCUAAGUGGCGCCACCUUGCCACUACACCACACUCCUUUUUGUGUCAUCUUUUCCUCCAACAAUAUUCUUAAGGCCUACCUUAAACCAAAAUUUUUGCUAGAGUCCAGAUUUGAACCCAAGACUUCUCCAACACUUAUCAGCACACUUAACCACUAAAACAAGCCUUCAUUAAUGAAAUUUACAUGCACAACAAAAUAUUAUAAGCUACCUUCAAUCGCUCCCAUACUCAAGGCCUAAAACUUCUAGGCCUAAAUUCAAGGUGUUACAUUGGGAUUUAGUCGUCUUUGGGCUUGCACGCAUGGUUUAUAUUCAUCUUCCAUUAAAAUUUUGUGGGUGCAAAAAGAAGGGCUGAUCCGUUUAAUGUAAGAAAUUUUCCACACUAUGGCCCUUUUAUGCUCUCUUAAUAUUUGGAGUAAUUCCUCUUUCUCCUUGGGUUGCAAGUUGGAUGCAAUAAUUACCAGUAAAGUAGAAUUAUUUCCAAGGAAUGCAUAUUCCAAGUGAUUCGGCAAUUGUUUAUGUUCCAGUUUGGGAGGUUCGUCAAUAGAGGGUUUUUGCUUAAGUUCAUAUUUUACCUUAAUUCCCCCAUAUUCUGCUAAUUUUGGAGAGGUUUCAUUGGAGUUUAGUUCGAUUCCUAUCUCAGAAUCAUCAUUCACCCUCUCUCCUUGGGCAAGAUACAGUUCCAUCGUGUCCUUGUGUACGAUUUCCUGAAAAGAAUCUUGAGUAGCAUGAUCAAUAAAGUCGAUAAAAUAACAUGAGUCAUCUUGUUCUCUAGAAAAUCUCAUGGCAUCAUAAAUUUUAAAAAUAAUCUCUUCGUCACCUACUCUAUGUGACAGCCCUAUUUUGACCCUAGUCGGGAAGUGGUUUCGGGACCGCUAAACCGAGUCACUAAAAUAUUUGAAUAUAAUAUUUUAUGUCUAAAAUAUGUGUUUAUGCCUGUGUCAAUUUUUAAAUGCUUUAAUUUUUUCAAAUUGAUGUGAAAUUAAUUGAAAAUAGACUUGUGUGAAAAUUUUGAGAAUAUGUUAGGUAAAUUUUGAAAUGGCCUUGUAUUAUGUGACUUUAAAACACAAGGACUUGCAUGUCAAAUUGACAUGGUUUUUUUAUAGUGGCUGGCCAUGUGGAAUAAUCAUUGAAAUGUAUGUAUUUUAUACAUAUAUUUGUAUUAUAAUAUAAUUAUAAUUAUAUAUGUUAUUGGUGUUAAAAUAAAAUAAAUAAAAUAGUGAAAGGUGAAAAGAACAAGGCUUAGUUCAUCUUUUGUUCUUCAUUUGCCGAAUAUAGGAGGGAAAGCUAGGUUUUCGUUCACUCUUUGAUUUUUGCUUGAUUAAGGUAAAAAUUUCAUGUUAUUUCCUUUGAAAUUUUUUAAGUGUGGUUGAUAGCUAAGUAUUUGACUUAGCCCAUUUUGAAAUUUUGAAUUCUAUGGUGAUUUGGGCAUUCGGCCAUGAUAUGGAUGGUAAGAAAUGGUGGUUGUUUUAUGCUCUUAUGAGUAAAGGUGGAUAAGUGAGGUUUAAACUUGUUAGAUAUGCAUAGUAGUGGUUUAGGUGCUUUGGGGAAUUUUGGCUAACAUGUUUGUGCUUACCGAAAUUGAAUUUGAGGUUUUGAGCAUAAUUUGUGUAACUUGUGAAUGAAAUACUUGAAAUUAUGAAUUAGGAACAUGAAUUUAGUCGGCUACUUAAGGCAAAUUGUUAAAUAAUGCUCAACAUUAGUGUUAUUUACUUAAUUGGCAAAUUUAGCUGGGUGAAUUCGUGGGUAUGGGGCAAAGUAUUUAUAUUCGGCCAUUAGCUAGAUUUUGUUAAGAUUUGGAUCAUUGAGAAUUUAGUCAAUAUGCUUAAAAAGAAGCUUUCAUGGUUGCCGAAUUGUAAAGUGAGAAGUUGCUAAGUAAAAUUGAUGUUAAAAUCAAUGAAAUAGAUAAUGGUAGGUUUAAUUGAAGAAGUCAUGCUUUGUGUGCCUUAUUUGCUUAUUGAACAUUCGACUUUGUCCCUAGAGAAUGAAUGAAUUGAUGAUAAUUGUUUAUGGGAAUUAACUUUGCCAUGUUUAUGUUAACAAGAUGAGAAAUGAAUUAAGAUGGUCCUAGUGUGCCGAUUGGGAGCUAGGAAAUUGAGUUAAAGAUAGAAUAUAGUGAGUAAAUAUUUCAUAGACAUUUUUGACACUUAAGUUCACAUGAAUUUAAGCUUACUAAGUGAUCACAUAUUCGGCUCUUGAUGAUUAUUAUGUCAUGAAUAAUAAGUUUGAUUAAAAGAUUAUGUAAACUUGAUCAAAUUAAUAAUUUAGUUGUGACUUGUAACAUAGUUGUAUUUGGCCGAAUGUGUAUGUAAAGGAAAAUUGUGUGUGUGUGUGUGUCAUAUUGGAAUGAAAGUGUAAUUAUUAAAUGAGAGGUAUGAAUAAGGUUUAAUAUAAUUAAACUUGUUUAACAUAGCUCAAGAGCAUAGAGGGGCAACAUCGGAUAAGGGAAAAGCUAAAGUCACGGAAUAUACGACCCGAAAUUUGAUCAGAAAGAUACAAGGUAAGUGUUCGAGUAAUGAAACUUAGCUUAUGAUUUGAUAAAAUCAUGAUAUAUAAGCAUAAUAAAUAAAUUGUGACCUAAUGGUUCUACUUGAAUUACGUAGUGAGAUAAAUAAUUUGUGCAUAUGACUUGUAGCCGAAUGGUUAUAGAAAUCAUGUUGGAUAGCGAAACGAAAUCGUGUUCUUUGUAUGUGGCUAUUGAGCCGAAAGUGGAAUGGUUGAUAAGCAUGUUGUGCUUGGGUUCUAGUAAUAUAAAUGAAAUGCUAAUGUGUUAUGAUAUAUAUAUGUGUGCAUGAUAAUUGAGGAUUAUAACCGGGCUAAGACCCGUAGGCCUUGUGUGAGAUUUAUAUCCGGGCUAAGUCCCAAAGGCAUUCGUGCUGGUGUUAUAUCCGGGCUAAGUCCCGAAGGCAUUUGUGCUGGUGUUAUGUCCGGGCUAAGUCCCGAAGGCAUUCGUGCUGGUGUUAUAUCCGGGCUAAGUCCCGAAGGUAUUUGUGCUGGUGUUAUAUCCGGGCUAAGUCCCGAAGGCAUUCGUGCUGGUGUUAUGUCCGGGCUAAGUCCCGAAGGCAUUCGUGCUGGUGUUAUAUCCGGGCUAAGUCCCGAAGGUAUUUGUGCUGGUGUUAUAUCCAGGCUAAGUCCCGAAGGUAUUCGUGCUGGUGUUAUAUCUGGGAUAAGUCCCGAAGGUAUUCCUGUUGGUGUUAUAUCCGGGCUAAGUCCUGAAGGCAUUUGUGUUGGAAAUGUGUGAUCUUUCUAUAAUAAUUCCAAUUAAUGUGCUCACAACCCUAAGAUGGUCAGGUAUGUACCGUAUAUACGUUGUAAAAUUUGAUUCAGUUUAAAUUGUGAUUAUUCAUUUGGAUAGUGCUCUUCUGGCCAUUGCUUAGGGUUGUAUGAAGUCUAUAGCUUAUUCAGGAUACAUGAAUUUUGAUUCAAGUGGAAAUAUGUUAAGAUUGGCUCUGAGCAUGUGAGUAUAUUGGUUGAAGUGUGAAGUAACAUGAAUAUGUGAAUAUGCGUAUAUGUAUUUAUUUAGCCUUGUAAUUGAAUUAGAUGUAUUCGGCCAAAUGAUGAAGUUGGUUGGAUAAAAAGAAGUUAUCUACGUGAUAUGAAUUUAUGUUUAAGGAAAAUUUUAAAAUGACAUGCAUGAACAAUACUGGUAUAUUUUAGUCAUGGUUACAUUCGGUCAAAGAAAAGAUGAUAAGCCUUAUGAAUGCUAUGCUUUAAUUUUAAAUGAUUUCAUUGCUUAAAACUUACUAAGCAUAGAAAUGCGUACUCUGUUGUCCUUAAUGCUCUGUUUUAUAGAUCUCGUUCAUUAGCUAUGGUCUCGGGAAUCUCAAAGUCGAAGUCGUCCACACUAUUUAAGCCCAUUCGGUACUCUAGUAGCUAAACUUUGAUAAUGGCAUGUAUAGGCUUGACUUUUUGAUGUUAAAUAAGUAUCUUUUUGAUGAUGUAUAUAUGUAUAGCCAUGCGAAAGUGGCUUGUUAUAUGUGUUCCACAUAGUUAAUGUGAAUGUGUGGUUGAUAUUCGAUUAAUGUUUUCCAUGUUUUGAUGUGAAUUGAACUUAAGAAUGAAUCAAUGUACCCAUUAACUUGAGAUGACUCUUUUGUAUAUUGUAUAAUUGAAAAAAAAAACAAGUUGGAAUUCGGUUUUAUAAGUGUGCCAACGGGAGUUAUUCAAAUAAAGUUAAAUGGAAUUUCGUGCUUGUAUGGUAAUACUCCUUAACCCUCCGGCGACGGGUACAGGUUAGGGGUGUUACACUCUAAGUACCAAUUUACCAUCACCCACAUCAAUUACAGCUCUGGCAGUGGCCAAGAAUGUUCGAUCUAAGAUUAAAAGCACAUCAGCAUCUUCAUCCAUGUCAAGCACAAUGAAAUCAACAGGGAAUAUAAAUUUAUCUACUUUUACAAGUAUGUCCUCUAUAAUUCCCCUGGGAUAUUUAACAGAUCUAUCAGCUAAUGGAAUACUCAUCCUAGUGGGUUUAGGCUCCCCAAGACCAAGUUGUUUAAACAUUUUAUAUGGCAUCAAAUUAAUGCUGGCGCCUAAAUCAGCUAGCGCUUUAUCAACAUUCAAACUACCAAUUAAGCAGGGAAUAGUAAAACUUCCUGGAUCUUUCAAUUUGGUUGGUAGUUUAUUUUGUAGUAUGGCCGAGCACUUCUCAUUAAGUUCCACUGUAGAUAAGUCUUAAAACUUCCUUUUGUUUGUUAGAGGCUCCGUUAAAAAUUUUGCAUAUGUAGGCAUCUGCGAUAUAGCUUCAACAAAAGGUAAGUUAAUAUGCAGUUGUUUAAAAAGUUUAAGAAAUUUUCCAAAUAGUGCAUCCUUGUGGUCUUUCUUCAACUUUUCUGGGUACAGGAUUGGUGGUUUAUAUUCUUUUGGCAUUAGAUUGUCACUGUUUUCUUGUUCGACCUCCUUUAUGUCAGCUUCUUGUGGUGUUUUCUUUUCAGAUUCAACUAACACUUUCCCACUCAUUAGUGUAACUUCUUUCACAUGCUCUUUUGGGUUGGGUUCAGUGUUACUCGGUAGUCUACCUUGUGGUCGUUCAGAUAUCAAUUUAGCGAGCUGACCUAUCUGAGUUUCGAGCCCUUGGAUCGAUGCUUGUUGAUUUUUAAGUGUUGUCUCGGUAUUCUAAAAAUGAGUUUUUGACACUGAGAUGAAUUUUGUUAGCAUCUCCUCAAGGUUUGGCUUUUUCUCUUAUUGGUAGGGUGGUUGUUGGAAGCCUGGAGGUGGUGGUCUCUGAUUCCCUUGGCCUCCCCAUGAGAGAUUUGGGCGGUUCCUCCAACCUGUAUUAUAAGUUUUACUAUAAAGAUUAUUUUGAGAUCGAGGAUUAUUACCCAUGUAAUUUAACUGCUCGUUCUCUAUGUGGUGGUCAUAGGGUGGGUAUUAUGAAUUGCUUGAUCCACCUCUACUUGCUUCGCACUGCAUUACUGGGUAAACCUGUGAAGAACCAAGAAAAUCGUCAAUUUUUUUAUUCAAAAGUUCUACCUAAUUAGAGAGCAUGAUGACUGAAUCGACGUUAAAAACACCGGCUAUUUUUGUUGGCUUUUUCCUCAUGAUUUUCCACUAAUAUUUAGUGACAUUUCUUCUAUAAAGUCAUAAGCAUCCUCAGGUGUCUUAUUAUUGAUAGUUCCACCAGCGGCUGCGUCAAUCAUCUGCCGAGUCGAAGGGUUCAGGCCAUUAUGAAACGUUUGAACCUGUAGCCAGAGUGGUAACCCAUGGUGAUGGCAUCUUCGCAAAAAGUCCUUGUAUCUCUCCCAUGCAUUGUAGAGUGUUUCUAAAUCCAUAUGCACAAAAGAGGAGAUAUCAUUAUGUAAUUUGGCUGUUUUAGCCGGAGGAAAAUAUUUCAAUAAAAACUUUUUGGUUAUUUGUUCCAAAGUAGUGAUUGAUCCUCAUGGUAAUGAGUUCAACCAUUGUUUAGUCUUAUUCCUCAACGAAAAAGGGAAUAAUUAAAGGCGAAUGGCGUUUCUGAUGAUGCCAUUAAUUUUAAAUGUAUCACAUAGUUCCAAAAAGUUUGCCAGGUGAGUGUUGGGAUCUUCGUCCUGCAAACCAUCAAACUGAACAAAUUGUUGUAUUAUUUGAAUUAUGUUAGGUUUCAGUUCAAAAGUAUUUGCAGCAACAGCAGGCCUAACUAUGCUCGAUUCAGUUCCUGUUAAAGAAGGUUUAUCAUAAUCAUACAUAGUACGUGGAGCAGGAUUCUGAUUAGCAGCAAUCGUAGGAGGUAGUAAAUUUUCUUGGUUUUCAAUCAUCUCCUCGGUUGUGGUUGAAGUAUCGUCCUCUUGCUCUUCCUCUGUGUAUCGUAAGUUUUGCCUUAUUUCUCUUCGAUUUUUGCAAACCGUGCGGUCGAUCUCACCGUCAAAAAGUAGUGGUCCUGACGGGUUUGUUCUGGUCAUAAACUAGAAAAAACCUGUAAGAAGAAAAUAAAUGAAAAAUUAGAAAUGAAAAUAAAAAUUUAAAUUGCAAUAAAAGUAAAAUAGAGUGUUCCUAAUAUCCUAGUUCCCCGACAACAGCGCCAAAAACUUGAUACGUGAUAUUCACGAUAGGUUUUAAAUAUUUAUAAUUAAUCGUUCUUGAAACUAACUAUUAUCACGAUGAAGGCAAGUGUACCUAUCGAACAGUAGUAUAGCUUUAGCAAGACUGGAUUGUCGAACCCAAAGGAACCAAGAGUACUAGUAAUUACUUUCUUUUUAUUAUCUAGCCUAAAAAUUAAGGGAUUUGUUUAUCUGAAUUAACUAACUAAACUAAGAGUGCACAGAGAGAAAUUGGGGAAAAGCUUUUGGGAAAAUUAGAUUGAUUAAAACAAUACCCAAGGAAAAAUCCACCAAGACUUCACUUGUUAUUUGACUCUGAACCAGAUGAUUUAUUCAUUUGACUUAAUCCCUAGAAAUCCCUAAGUUAUAUUAUUAUCUCUCGAGACUAAUAACGUCUAACCCUAAGUUGAUUAAUUGAAAUCUCUUUCUAAUUAACACCUAGUGUUGCAUUAACUCGAUUUAUGGAUCCCCUUAUUAGGUUUCACCCUAAUCUGGCAAAAUCUUAUCACCCUAUCUCUAGGCGUGCAAUCAACUCCGCUUAAUUAUGACAAAUUUACUCUUAGACAGGGUCUAUUCCUCCUCUGAAUAAGAGCAUUAACUCGAAUCAAUAUCCUGGAAUAUUAAAACAAGAAUUAAGAACACAUAAUUAAGAACAAGUCAAAUAUUUAUCAUACAAUUCAGAUAAUAAUAACAAGAUCCUUCUUAGGUUUCAUUCCCUUUAGGUAUUGAAGGGGUUUAGUUCAUAAUUAUAGAAGAAAACAUCUCAGAAGAAUAAUGAAUACAAAAUAUAAAGAAAACCCAAAACCCCUGAAUGAAAAUUGAAGGGAGAUCUUCAGUUUUGAUGAUGAAUCUGGCUUCUGAGAUGGAGCAAUCGGCUUUUCUUGAGUAAUUCCUUGCCUCCUAUUCUGCGUCCCCCUUCCUAAGUGCCUCCUUAGGUGUUCAAAUAGCCUUUAGAAUGCCUAAGAGCCCUCAAAAUUGGCUUUUUCCAAAUAGGGUUAUACUUGGGCUUGGCAAGGACACGUUCGUGUGACAUGCCCGUGUGCGAUUACUCCAGCCCGUGGUCAAGGCUGUUGAAUAGGCACGGACGUGUAGUCAACCCGUGUAAGUCGAGCUUCGAUCCUGCCAAAGAGACACAACAAUGUGACACGCCCGUGUGAGGAAGUCUAGGCCGUGUUGAUUUCCCAUGUGGGUCUAUUUUCUCCAUUUUCGAUCCUUUUCUCGUUCUUUUUACUCUCUGAUGCUCACCUAAGUAUAAAACAUGAAAUUAAAGAGUUAGGAGCAUCGAAUUCACCAAAUCUAAGGAGAAAUCAUCCAUAAAUGUGUUCAGCAUGGGAUAAAAAUAUAUACAAAAUACGGUUUAUCAAAGGGUCACACGCCCGUGUGAAUAGGCCGUAUACCUCACAUGGUCACCAGACACGCCCAUGUCACAAACCGUGUGAAAACAGGGCAUACAUACUGACUUAUACCACACGGUCAAGGACACGCCUAUGUGCCAUGACCAUGGGAAAACUAGGGAGGUUACUGACUUGGGUCACACGGCCAACCACACGCCUAUGUGCCAGCCCGUGUGCCAUACAAGACCAGUAGACAUGCCCGUGUGUCUAGGCUGUGUCAAAACUGUAGGGUAUACUACCUUAAUUCGAAACGGUACCCUAAGGGACACACAGUUAUGUAACAUGACCGUGUGUCACACACAGCUAAGACACACGCCCGUGUCUCUACCCGUAUAGACAAAAAUAGGUCAUUUGUAAAGCCAAUUUGUCACCCUUUUUCUCAUGCACACCGAGCCAUCAAAAAUGCUAUCAUUUCAAUACAUAUAUGGGCAGCCAAAACUUGAUAAAUCACACAUAUAUCAUGCCAUCUAUCAUCAACCAUUUCAACUACUCAAUUCCAUAAUAAAAAAUAUACCAAAUCAAUAUACCAAAAUCAUCCAUCUCACAUAACUUUGUAAUAUAUUUUCAUCACCUUUCUUGUAACAUCUCGAAUUAGGGUCUAGUCAAAACAGUGGUUUUGAGACCACAAAUCUAAAAUAGAAAUAAUUAUUUUAUGAUUUUUUGAUAGUCUUUGAUAUGAAUGCUUGUUUGUGUGAAAUUUCCAUGAAGAAAUUCUAUGCUUAAAGUGUCCAAUUUGAAGUUAGAGACUAGAUUGAAUAAGUUGCAAAAUAUGUGUUCUAGAAGCUUCAAGCAUGAAAUUACAUUGGAUUAUAAAUUAGAAGGUCUUAAAUAGCAAUUUGACCAAUUUCUAUAAUUUUGGACAAAAAUGGGCAUGAAUAGGAAAAUUUUGAAAGAAAGGCUUAAAGGGCAUUUUUUUUAUUUGGUUAAUAAAAGAAUAAAAUGGGAAAAUCAAGUCAAAAAUGGUGUCCAUCUUCUCCAAAGGGUGCCGAAAUUUCCAAGAGCCAUAGCUAGGGUUUUGUUCAACUUUUCAAACUUGAUUGUAAGUGCUCCUAAGCCCUAUUUUUUAUGCUCUUUGCAUUUUUUAAGUCCUUGAAGCAUGAUCUAUCCUUUUCUAGCCAUAUUUUGUGACAUGGACCAUGUGUGAAACUUGAACCAUGUGUGAAAUGUUUGUGUUUUGAUGUUUAACAUAAGAAUAUGAAAGUUUGAUGUGUGUUUAACAUCUUUUACGGAGUGAUUUUUGAUAGAAAUGCCUAAAAAUGACUUAUUUGUAAAAGGUAUAAAAGUGGGUGGUAAAAAUGUGAAAUAAAGGAAAAUGUUGGCUGAUAUAAGCAUGGUAUAGGGUCGGUUAGGCUUAGGUAACCAAGAAAAUGCAUGCAUUUCAUUUUACGAGCCUAGAGACUAAAGUGUAAAUAAGUAAAAAAUUAGGGGUAAAAAGGUAAUUUUACCAAAAUAUGUAUUAUUGAUCGAUUUGAACAAUGUAUGUAUUAAAUGAGUUAAAUUUGACAUUAUAGAUCAAGAAAAACGUGAUACGGGUCUUAAUCGGGGGAAAAACAAUAGUUACGAGGAUUAGGCUCGUUUCUAUCAUUUUGUACCGAGGUAAGUUCAUUUGCAAAUUAUGCAACAUGUACCAUACAUUAAAUACUUUAAUAUUGCAUGUAUGGUAAGUAUAUGUAUGAUUAAUGUGAUGUUGUACCAUGUGUUGAUGCUUAAAUUUCAUUAUAAAUUAUUGCUUUAAUUCUCCCAUGUGUAUGUGAUUGGUGCUAUGGAUAUUGAAAUAGACAUUACGAGCAAGUUCGAAUGAAGUAUAGAAGAAUCCCCUUUGAACCUUAGGAAUAGUUUAGGAUACAAGUGACAUGUCACUAGGAAUUAUGUGAUCUGAACUCAUGAGUUGUGGUCUGAGUUCAUGAUAUAUAUGACACAUGUUUUGGCAUUCCGGGUAUUGGUCUUGUAUGUCUACCAAUGGCUGGGUAGUCCAGCAUGUGUUACGGAUACCCAACAGCUUGUGUGAGUAGCCCGUGUAGCUACAUCAUGACCGAUAGCUUGUGUGAGCUAACCCGUGAGUAGAUCAAAAGUGAGCAACAUGUGAUAGAUGAUAUAAGGUACCAGUGGCUACAUAUAAGGCACUUAGGUGCAAGUUUCCAAUGUAUCCGAUGGUAUUCCAAGUGUUCAACGAGUGGUUCAAAGAGAAGAUCCAUAGGUAAUCUUAAUGAACAUGUCAAAGACAAGAAAGUAAGUAUUAUGUGCAAGUUGGUACAGGUAUGUACAUAAACUCAUCAUAAAAGAUCUCGGUAUGCUAUGAACAUGUGGUAAGAAUGUAUAUGAGAAAGUUAUGCUUAUGAAAUAUGAUGAAAUUUAUGAAACUUUGCCUUAUGUUAAUUGUAUGAUUUAUGUUUCUUAUUAUUUGCAUGUAAACUUACUAAGCUUUAAAGCUUACCCUUUUUCCUUUCCUUUCCUUUCCUUAUAAUGUCGCCAAGCUAGCUUAGGGAUUGGAGGAUAUCGGAGUUUUCGGUCACACUAUCAAUUGGAAAAUUUGGUAUAGUUAGAUUCAACAUUUUGAAUAUGGCAUGUAUAGGGACUUGGUCUUUUUGUUAAGUGUCAUAUUGAUUAGCCAAAUGUGUUGGCUCAUUAUGGUGUUAUAAUUCAAUCUAUGUAUGGCCAUGAGAGGUGGCUCUUAUUAAUUAUUUAGGUCCUAAUUAGUUAUGCAUGGAUGCAAAUGUGUUUAUGCUUGUUGUGGUUGCUUGAUGGAUGUAUGAUGACAUGUGGUUGGUAUGCUAAAGGUAUGUGUUGAUGAGGGUGAUGGAUGGCAUGUAUGUUUAAUGCAUGAAAUAUGAUUAAUGAGUAUGACAAUAAAUGUGAUAUAAUGAUGAAUAGAUAUGAAAUUGGUGUGAAAUGCCAUAUGAAAGCCUAAUGAUCUAAGUAUGUGAUAUGUUGACACUACCAAGUUAUAAAUUAACCAUAUAUGUGAAUGCUUGAGUAACAAAAGGUGCCUUGUUGCAUGCCAUGAAGAUAAUGUAGGUCUGUGAAUACUUAAGAGUGGCAAUUGGCUUGGAAAAUAGCCUAGAAGUUGUCCAUAAAGGUAGACACACGGGCAUGUGUCUAGGUCAUGUAUGACACACAGUCUGCCCCAUGGGCGUGUGGUUCAGCCAUAUGUCCCGUGCACCCUAAUUAAUGAAAACAGAAUGCCCAGUAGUAAACACACGGGCAGAGACGCAGCCAUAUGUCUUAGCCGUGUGGAGGACACGGCCUGCGCCCUCCGGACAUAGGCGUGUGCCCAUGCCGUGUGAAGUCUGCACUUAAUUUUGAGAAUUUAAUUUGCCAUACGGCCCAAGCACACAGGCAUGUGACUUGACCGUGUAACCUUAAUUGUAUGAUGACGUCAUAGUCAGAGACUUACACGGGUUGAGGAUACGGACAUGUCCCAAGCCACACGGGCGUGUGUGACCACACGGCCUAUCCACAUGGGCGUGUGACUCUCUAAAACAAGAAAAUUUUCUAAGUGUCAAAAAGAUUCUGAAAGUUCUCAGUUUAGUCCCAAAUCUCUUUCGAUGUAUGUUUUGGGCCUCAUAAGCCCGUUUAAGGGAUAAUUUGCAUGAAAUUGAAAAGUUUUAAAUUUGAACAAAAUUUUUUGGCCCAAUUUUGUGUGAAUUUUAUGUUCUAGUCCGGUAACGCCUCGAACCCUGACCCGGCGUUAGAUACGGGUAAAGGGUGUUAUAUUUAGUAGUAUCAGAGCUGCAAUUUUGUCUAUUCUCGAACUAACGUAGCAUGUGUACAAGUCUAGCUAUACAUGCCAUACAUAUAUUAUGAUAGUGUGAUGACUUCUGAUGAUUUAAAAAUGUGUUUUCAUAUAGUAAAUAGUCCUGAUAGAGUAGUGGAGGAUGAUGUUGAAAGUAACGUGCCUGCUCCUGCUCAAGGAGUAGUGUUGUUUGAUAGUAAACCCACAACUGUUAGUAGAGGAGAAGGAGGCAGGGAAGCCUUUCUCCAUAUGAUGGACGCCUGGUACACGGAGUUCAUUCGAACGAACCUGAACGCUCAACCUUCCCCACCCCUUCAAAUCCCCAACCCGUACCCCAAGUGCCUCAUGGUAUGGAUUUUAUGAGAGUUCAUAGAACCCUAGAGUUCAUAGAACCCUAGUUGACAAAAUUCGAAAGCAAGGAGUAGAGGAACUUAGGGCCAAUGCUGAUGAUGACCUUUAGAAAGUGGAAUUUUGGCUUGAAAAUUCUAUUCGGGUAUUCAAUAAGCUAUCAUGCACACCUGAAGAGUGUUUGAAGUGUGCUAUUUCCUUAUUCAGAGAUGCGGCAUAUCAUUGGUGGAAGACACUAGUUUCGGUGGUUCCGAAAGAAAGGGUCACAUGGGGAUUCUUUCAAGAUAAGUUCUGAAAGAAAUACAUCAAUGAACGAUUCAUUGAUCAAAAGCGUAAGGAAUUUCUUGACUUGAAAUAAGGUUGUAUUUUAGUUAUUGAGUACGAAAGAGAGUUUGUUCGGUUCAGUAAAUAUGCUCAGGAGUGUGUAUCCUCUGAAGCUAAAAUGUGUAGAAGGUUUCAAGACAGACUUAAUAAGGAUAUUAGAGUGUUAGUGGGUAUUCUUGAGCUGAAGGAAUUUAUUGUGCUCGUUGGUCGAGCUUGUAAAGCUGAGGAACUGACCAAUGAAAAGAGAAAAGCUGAGGCUGAGGCUAGAGAGAUAAGGAAGAGGCUGAUGAGCAAGUCAUUUUCGUUUCAGUCUAAGAAAUCUAGAGAUAUGUAUUCCCGUUCUCAUGUUUCGACUGGGCAUUCGUACAAAAAUUGUAAAAAGUAAAAUUCAGGUUUUAAAUCUCAGGCUAUAUCUAUGGCUAGUGUGGGUAAUGAUAGACCUUCCAGGCCCGAGUGCCAACAAUGUGGUAGAGGCCAUUUUGGUAAAUGUAGGGUGAACGACGAAUCUUGUUUUCGAUAUGGUUCUCAAGACCACUAUAUCAAAGACUGUCUUGAGAUUAUCAAGAAAGAAAAAUUUCAGAGUACAAGGCCGGGUAGAACGGCUAAAAAAGGGAAACCCUCGAGAAAUGCCGGUAAUAGGGCUAGUAGCAAAACUGUAGCGGAAGAAAUAGUGGUGAGAUCUGAAGCUAGAGCACUGGCCUAUGCCAUACAUGUGCGUGAGGACGCAUCUUCUCCCAAUGUGAUCACUGAUACUUUUUCUCUUUACAGUACUACUAUUAUGCCUUGAUUGACCCUGGUUCUACUCAUUCAUAUGUAUGCAUGAAAUUGGUAUCUAGCAUGAAAAUGCCUGUUGAGUCUACAGAAUUUAUGAUUAAGGUGUCAAACCUGCUAGGCAAGCAUGUUUUAAUUGAUAAGGUAUGUAAGAAAUGCCCUUUAAUGAUUAGAGGUUAUUGUUUUCUGGCUGACUUGAUGUUGUUAUCAUUUGAUGAAUUUUAUGUUAUAUUGGGUAUGGAUUGGUUAACAUUUCAUGAUGCUAUAGUGAAUUGUAGACAGAAAAUUAUUGAAUUGAAGUGUGAAAACGGUGAAAUUCUUCAAGUUGAAUUAAAUGAGCGAGUGAAAUUCUUCGAGUUGAAUUAGAUGAGCGAGAUAGAUUGCCAAUCAUAAUUUCUUUAAUGCCGGCUCAGAAAUGUAUGAGAAAAGUGUGUGAAGCUUAUUUGGCUUAUGUGUUGAAUACAAAAGAGUCUGAAUUGAAGAUUGAAUCACUGCCUGUCGUAUGUGAGUAUUGGAUGUAUUCCCGAAAGAAUUUCCAGGCUUACCUCCAAUUAGAGAAGUGGAGUUUGGUAUUGAAGUGAUGCCAGGGACAGCACCUAUCUCGAUUGCUCCAUAUAUGAUGGCCCCAACUGAGUUGAAAGAACUAAAGUCACUGUUGCAAGAAUUGACCGACAAGGGUUUUGUGAGACCGAGCUUUUCACUGUAGGGUUCUCUGGUGUUAUUCAUGAAGAAGAAAGACGAAUCUAUGAGGUUUUAUAUAGAUUACCGACAGCUCAAUAAGGUGACAAUCAAGAACAAGUAUCCUUUACCAAGGAUUGAUGACCUGUUUGAUCAACUAAAAGGAGCGACAUGGUUUUCUAAAAUAGACUUGAGGUCCGGCUACUAUUAGUUGCGAGUUAAAGAGUCAGAUGUGCCUAAAACUGCUUUUAGAACAAGGUAUGGCCACUAUGAACUUCUUGUUAUGUCAUUUGGGUUGAUGAACGCUCAUGCUGUGUUUAUAGAUUUAAUGAAUUGAAUAUUUCAGCCAUAUUUGGACAAGUUUGUCAUUGUGUUUAUUGACGAUAUUUUGAUUUAUUCGAGAGAUGAGAUAGAACAUGCCGAGCACUUGAGAACUGUUUUACAGACUUUAAGAGACAAACAGUUGUAUGCUAAGUUUAGUAAAAGCGAUUUUAGGCUUCGAGAAGUUGGAUUUUUGGGCCACAUUGCUUCAGGUGAUAGUAUCCGAGAUCCUAGUAAGAUUUUUUCUAUUGUCGAUUGGAAACUUCCAAGGAAUAUAUUUGAGGUUAGAAGAUUUUUGGGCUUAGUCGGUUACUACCGACGGUUC
Molecule: long non-coding RNA, 67828 nt
Filed under: Gossypium barbadense (sea-island cotton)
Lineage: Eukaryota; Viridiplantae; Streptophyta; Magnoliopsida; Malvales; Malvaceae
Description: long non-coding RNA (GBAR_LNC012735)
Rfam family: Plant small nucleolar RNA R71 (bases 59117-59222)
Source: RNAcentral